Podarcis lilfordi (Lilford's wall lizard) is the source of this 47655-nucleotide non-coding RNA. The record is from the annotation of a GenBank genome assembly. NCBI's taxonomy places the organism in Eukaryota, Metazoa, Chordata, Lepidosauria, Squamata, Lacertidae.
GAGCAAACUUGUUUUCUCCCUGCUCUGGAGGACAGGACCCAAAGCAAUGGCUUCAAGUUACAAGAAAGGAGAAUCUGAUUAAACACCAGGAAGAACUUUCUUACGGUAAGAGCUGUUUGACAGUGGUACAGACUCACUUGGAAGUGGGUGGACUCUUCUUCCUUGGAAGUUUUUAAGCAGUUUGGGUGGCCAUGUGUCCUGCAGGGAUGCUUUAGUUGAGAUUCCUGUAUUGCAGGGGGUUGGACUAGAUGACCCUCAAGGUCCCUUCCAACUCUAGAGUUCUAAGAUUCUUUGGUUCUAUGAUUCUAAGUACAGGUCAAAAAGAGUGAUAAACUAACAAGUCCUGUUGGAGCAGAAUUCCCAUUAAAUGUUUCCAAUGGUUUCUUGCAUAUUAAUGAUCUUAGCAUGUUGAACAUGCCUGGUUCUCUAUCUCUUUCUCCCCUCCUUCUUCUUCUUCUUCAGUUUAUAUUGUAGCCUUACUGGAGUUCACUGAUUGGGUCUGCGUUGCUCCGUGACAGGGGGAAGGAAGUCAAAAUGACACCGAGUUGGUUCAAAGAAAGAGUUUAUUCUCUUUUGAAAGAACAAAAAGGGGGGGGGGGUUGAGUCAGUUUUUAAACUUACUACACAGAAACCCAUUCCUUCAAUAUAUUCUACUACUUUGUGAAAACUGAUCUUUAUCCUUGGUUAUUUUUGUAUGAUAGUGCAGUCUUAUCUAUAUGAUACUGCUGUUUUUGUAUAACUGUACUCUACAAUUUAUACCUGUGUAGUUAAAGGUAAAUAAUGCAUUAAUAGAUCCAGUUGGUGGAAGUGACUGGGGAACAGCAUACAGAAAUACAUGACUACCUAACUGGAUCCUUUUGUGUUAAUGACCUUUCCCUGACUAUUUUUAGAAAUCCAGUGCAUCCAUAUUCUUGCCAACCACACUGUUGCAAACUGACAUCCAUAUAUGGGUCCAUAAUAAUGCAUCCCAAUAACCAUUUUCCUCCAACAUAUUUGGAUGGACUGUUUUAUACUACUAGCUCUCUCCACAUAUACAAAUGUUUCAUUUCCCUCUCAACUUUUUGUUAUUGUUCCUUGUGACCAAGAGCAAUUACUCCAUUUAAAUAGUAUCAUGGUAUUUACCAGAUAAUGGCAAAGAAUAUUAUAUUCCUCUUACAUUACAUAUCCUUCCUUUGCAUGGCAGCAAUAGAGACAAAUUAAUGCUUUCCUUUUAGUGACAUUGACAAGGCUAGCUUUAUUAUUAUUAUUAUUAUUUAUUGAAUUUAUAUACCGCCCUAUACCCAGAGGUCUCGGAAGUUCACAGAAUAAAAUCAAAAUAUAAAACUACAAAAUACAUAAUCAAAAUAAAAACAACAACCCAAUAACCCCCCCCCCAAAAGCUCACCACAUUUUAAAAGGGCAAGUGUGUGGAUCUGGUCUGCGACUACUCGCUCCAGAAUCUUGCUCAGGAGAGGGAGAUUAGCCUUGUUUCUAUAGUUUAUUGUUCUAGUGGUAUUUUGAAGUAUCGUAGAGACAAAGAAAAAGUAAAAUUAAAUUUGAAAAUUGAGUCAACACAACAAAUCUGAAAUAAAGAGAAGGUAGGAAUUUAAAUCUAAAAGGCCAUAAUACAGUGCACCAGGUAAACACUUAAAUUCAAUUGAAUUCAAAGGAGUUUUAAGCAUGGCUAACCCCAUGCUAGAUUGUGGCAUUUAUCUAUAUUUAAUGUGAAGCAAAUAGGAUAGCAAGCUGCACUGGCAAGUGGGUCAAUACUAUUUAAAAAUAUGACUUGCUGGUUGUGAAUUUUUACAGAGCUAAGAGUUAUAUAUUGUAAGCUCCAGCAUUUGUUUUGACAUAAAAUGUGAGUUGCUGGGUAAAAUAUCAACAGUAGUCAGGUCAGGAACUACUGCUGAUCAGAGUGGACUGUCCUAAGCAUUGGUCUAUCUUCCCCAGUCUGAGUAUAAAAUAUAUCUUCCUAUAUACAUCAAAAUGUAUGGCUGUCAUUGCACAGUCCCCACUAAAGGAUUUGUAGUGAGUGCUGUAUCACAAUCUUGGAUUUGCAUAAUGCCAGGGUGGGAUUCAAAAGCAAAAGAGAAGGCAGGUUAUACAAAACCAGUGGCCAUGCAUUGGAGCCAGAAGGGAGUGACAAUGAGAGGGGGGAAGUGGUGGUUUAAAGAAACAGCAGAAAUUUGAGUAAUGCAGGGAUGGAUCUUAGCAUGUGACAGGUGGCUUUAAUGACAGAGGUUUGAGUAAAGUACUGUGGGAUAUUUGAGGAUUCUGCAUAUUUCUCUGUCGUAUAUGAGGCAGUUAAGAACUGGAAGAUGGAGACUUCAGUACAGUGAGAAGUGAGAGACACUGAAAGGGAGGGGAAGUGGCUGUUUUAAACAGCAGUAGUUUGAAUAAAGCAGAGGUGGAAGGACACAGAGGCAAAUGGUGGUUUUAAACCACAACAGAGGUUCCCAAGAUACUAGCCACUAAUCUUUCACUUCACUUUUUUUUAGCUAUUAAGAGUUCCAGAAACUUGUAUGCCUUGCUGGUGUGCUUGAGGCCUCUGCUCCCAAACCAGACUUGAUAUUCCUGUAUGUAAAUGAACUCUUUGCAUUAGUUUUUCUGACAUGGCUUUGUCAUUCCAAAUUUCCACUGUGGCUUUAUCCAUUUACUUCCAAAAGUAUGUGAAGAUCAGUCUAGCUUCUAUUAGCAAGAAACCAAUUAGUUAUUCCCUUUAACCAUCCAAAUUUUGACCAUCCCAGAUGUUCAAGAUUACCAUGGUGGGAAUUGGUUUAUCUUUGUGGGUAAUCAGUUGGAUUUCUUCAAUUAUCUGACACCAGACAAUUGCCACUUUAGGAGAAUUCUACCAUAAGUGGAAUCAUGUGCCAUUUUCAGGGUCCACAUCUCCAGCAUUUUUGUGAAAAUAUCCAGGAAGUGAAAUAUGCCAGCAAGAUUCCUUCAUAUAUUAUUAUUUUUUCAAAAUCAGUAGUUCGUUCUGAGACACACAAAUUCAAUUUCUUGGCCUUCUUCACUUGGAGAAAUGUAGCCUUUAUGUAGAUUCUGCAUAUUAUCACAUGGAGAUGUAUUCCUAUGUAUUCCUGAGGUCGGCAAAACACUUAUUGUGGUCUACCUGAUUACAGGCUGGGUGUGGGUGGCGUGCCAACUGGAAACACUGACAGGUGCUGCUGUCUUAGCUGGGUCUUCUACAUAUCUCCAGAUAUGUGCAAAAGUCUAAAGGAAAGUUAAUGGACUUCAUUAUUUUUGGUCUCCUACUCCAUUGGUCAAUUCACCUCAAGAGCAGCCAAUGUGAACCAUCAGUAGCAUAGCACAAGGUGGUGGGAAGCAGUGCACUUCUUGUGAUGGUACUCAUCUCAUGUAUAUUGUCACCUCAUUUUUACUGCCAAUGGCAGCCAUGUUGUGCUGGCACAGCACUUUUAUCAAUAUAUGCAUCAGCACCUCGUUUCUUACUGAGAAAAUAAUCCCUGAGGGCAAGAUUUUUCAAAUCAUUUAAAAAACAACAACACCAUUAUAGUUGUCGCCAGCUUUUUCUAGAAAUCUGGUGAACUGACCAGACAUCUCCAUUCAGGCAGCUGGCUGCAUUUGUCUGUGACUUCAGUGGUGGUGUCAGCAACAUUGCAGGUGAAGAGGAGCACUGAGUCCCAGUCAGAACUCUGCAGCUCAGACAUGCUGUAUUGCUGUUCAGCUCCUCAUAAUAACCUAGAUCCAGGUGGGCAUGUGUGACUAGACAAGUUUCUAGGGACUGUGGUGAGCGGAUGGAAUAAGCAAGAAACAUCCAGGAUGCAAGUGUGUAAUUAGCAGGAGAGAAGUAGGUGCUCAGUGGAUGCAUUUCAUGGUAGAAGUGGUAGGGCAAGUGGGAGUGACCCUCACCCUUUCAGCUCUGGGAAUAUUAAUGGAUGAAUGGGACAGAAUGAGGCAAGCUUGCAGGUCUGUUCUCUAAACAGUUACUGUAUUUUUCGCUCUAUAAGACGCACCAGACCAUAAGACGCACCUAGUUUUUGGAGAAGGAAAACAGGAAAAAAAAUAUUCUGAAUCCCAGAAGCCAGAACAGCAAGAGGGAUCACUGCGCAGUGAUCCCUCUUGUUGUUCUGGCUUCUGGAAUAGCUGCACAGCCUGCAUUCGCUCCCUUACUUUUUAGGAGGGAAAAAGUGUGUCUUAUAGAGCAAAAAAUACAGUAUGUAUCGAAACCUGUGAACGUAGCCUACUACAUAUCUACAAGUUGUAUGUGCAUUUUGCAGGACUGGGCAAAUGGAUCUUGGAUUCUCAAUGGAUCUUGGAUCUCCGAGUUUGUUUUUUAAAGUGUAGAUUCUGCAAGUCCGAAGUCCGUCUGCCCUUGAUGUUACCUGCUCCACCCCUCCCACAACUAUUCUUAAGACUUUUCAGGGAAUUGCUUUAGCAUCCGAGCAUAAGGCUUUUAUUUAAACUGGACGCACUUGGACUGGAAAAGGAACUGUUCCAAAACGUUUAGGUUCAAAUUUGAAUUAGCUGUUAACCUUCAAUGACUCCGUCUUCAAUUUAUACGGAAAGAGUUUGCCAGCAAUACCAUCUUCUCUAACCUUUUGUGCUGCUCUUUGAGGCAAUUCUGUGGCAAAAGGCUUCUUGAAGUCCAAGUAGAUUAUGUCUGUUGCUUCAUUUCUGUCAGUUGUCAUUGUCACUUCCUUGAAGAAGUUAAUCAGAUUUGUUCAGCUUGACCUCCACUUUAAAUGGCUUUGACCUGUCUAAGUCUGUACCUGUUAAAAUGUUCUCAAGUUUUGUCCUUACCCAGUGAUUCUGAAACCUUCUUCCGUACUUUGAUCCCAUUCUAAAUAUAGAUGUCAUGUAUGCUACCUUCAUGUUCCUAGCCUAUUACGCUUAUUAUCAUAUCAGCAGGGAAUUAAAUGUCUCUGCCAUUGUUUCCUUCAUUUCAUAUUUUCAUAUUAAGGAAACAAGAACAUUAGUCUUUCAACAUGUCAUUGUUGCUGCUGUUAUUUAUUAAAUUUGUAUACCGCCCUUCAUCCAAUGAUCCCAAGCUAAUUCACAACAGAAAAAUGCAAAAUGAAAAUACAAAAUAGAUUUUUAAAAAACCCCAAUAACCCUCACCAUACUCUCUUUUUUUUCCUUCCAACUUCAACACUUUUUCAUUUUCCUCUGAAGGUGCUUCUCUCGUGUACUCUUUUUACCCAUGUUUCCACUGCCUUUAAAUGAAAACAAAUUGAAGCCAUACCUCACCAACAUUUAUUGAUGUUCAUAUAUAUGCUGCAGUAUCUUCAGCUAUUGCAAAUGGCUUUUCCCCUUGGAUCUUGGAAGUAUUUGAAGCAAUCUAGGAUAAUUGCUUCAGUCACCAGUGGAUACAAUCAUUGUUUGUUGUUUUUCCAAAUAUGUUUAGAAACCAUUAUACUUUUUCUUAGAUAAAAUAAUAAGAGUGAAACCUUAUGCUGGAUUUAAACUUGUUGGAGAGUGUUAUAAUGCAGACUACUAGCUCCCUGUACCUAGACACCUUGAAGUUACCCUGUUGUAUUGGCAAGCUAACCCACCCAUCAGCAAAGGGGCCAUAAAUGCUUGGGAAUAUGUCAGGGGAAGAGUGGCAUUUAGUCAGUUCUGAAGCUUUCGAAAACAUCAGUGGAGAUUCAGCAAAAAAAGGUCCCACAAUACAGAAUACCAUAAUAGCAGGGCCAGAUUUAGCUUUGAUUAGGCCCUAAGCUACUGAAGGUAAUGGGGCUCUUUAUAUGUCCAGCUCUCCUUUGGGUCAACAGCAAAUUGUUGCUGUUUUUUGUGUUGGGUAUAUGCUAUAGGGUAAUCUAUGGACCUAAUAGGUAUCUAAAGCCAUUUUCACAUAACAAAAUAUGUAUUUUAUCAAAGCUGCUGUAUGUAUGUUUUAUUUUAUUUAUUUUUUAUCUUAUAUUUUGGAAAUGAACAUCCAGGUUUUUCCCCCUUUAAUUUUUUUGGGGGCCCCCAAGAGAGUGGGGCCCUAAGCUAUAGCUUGUUUAGCUUAUACAUAAAUCCGGCACUGCAUAAUAGACAAAAGCCAGGGUAAAGAGGUGUUUCUUCAGCUAUGCAAUGGCUAGAGGAACCACUGUCGGGAGGGAGUUCCAUGAGUUAGGGGCACCAGAGAAAGCCCUCUCCUAGGCUACUAUCCCUUGCAUUUCUGUGGGUGGUGAAACUACUCGCAUAGUGGUUCCUUCCUUCACACUCUUAUGCAAUAAAUGGAGUGAAGCAACUUGCUUAGUUUGCAUGGGAGAAGGAAGAAAUAAAAGAGAUGAAGGCAGAAGGAGGAGCAAAAGAGGGUUCUAAAUGCUAAUCCCUGUGGGUCAUAAAGCUUUUACUCUCCACCUUCUAUUCCCCCUCUCCACAACAUUUCCUUCUCUCCUCACAGGAAUGAGUGAUUAUUCGUAAGAGGGAAAGGAACAUGCAUGUAGGGCAAGAUUUAGGUAUGUUGGAGUGGGGCCUGAAAACCACUCCACACACCCCUCAGGUUUUGUUCUCUGCCUCCAUAGGAGCUAAAGUUCAAUUUAGUUCCUUUGGGAGGAGGAAAAAGCUCAAAAAAGGCUCAAAAAAUAGAUUCUUAAUGUGUAAGACAUAAGAAGGGAACAGUGAAAGUUCAUCAGUUUGCCAGAGGUCAGUUAUGAAGUCAGUUGUGCAUUACUACCUUUUAGCUAAGUCAUAAGUUUGACACAGAGAAAUGUCAUGAUGAUGCAGGUGAUGAACAUUUUUGGGUUCAGUCAUAAUGAUAUAGAGCACUUGGAGCUGCUAAGCACUUAAGCCAGUGCUUAGCUUUAAGCAUCUGAACAAUCUUGCUCAUUAAAUGGAUCUAAUCAUGUGUUCUGUGCUCCCUCUACUGGUUUAGCGGCAGGUGACUUGUCUGACAAAUGCCCAGAGCUGGGUUGAUGAAGUUAUUGUAGAGCAAUGCUGGUGCUAAGACCAAAGUGUUAAAAUAGCACAUGAAUAUUCAGACCUGUAACUUAUAUGUCCAAAUACUCUCAGGAGUUAAUAAGCUGCUCCUUAGGCUGUCUUCCUCCAAUUGUCCCAUAAACUUAUCCAUGCUAUACUAAGGACUUAGUGAUUUUGUUGUAUUGGGAUAUGUUUUUAUUGCUUGUAUUUUUAACCUGGUUUCUAAAUAAAAGGUAAUACGCUGUGAAAUAUACAAUGUAAAUUAAUGCACCUAUGAAAAAGAGAAUGAAAGCUAUAUUUUUGGCUUUGGAAGACAUUGGUUGGAAACUGUGAUAUGGCUGUUUUAUUCUGAUAACUUUUAGUAAAAAAGGGGGGGGGGCUGACAGAAAGGCUGAUAUAAAAUCCCCAAAUCUUCUAUGUAUAUGUCAAGAGGGAAUACUUAAAAACUUUAAAAUAAGAGCUAUGACAGAAAAGGUUUGCUGGAAACCUGCUUGGGACAAAUAAAAUUCUUGUUCUCUCCCCCCCCCCCAAAUAAAGUUAUAGAACAAUGAUAGUCUAAUCAAUAGCCGAGAGUAAUGUUGCAAAUGUUACAGGAAUUAAACCAGUAUAAAGCCAGCGGCAUUUAGGGCUGGAGAACAAGGCCCAUUAAUCUUUUCCUUUUGAUGGCUUUCCCAAGAGGUUGCAAAAUGUACAGCAGGAAAGUUCGUGCAAGGCGUUUGCAGAAAGAACAUAAGCGAAGUCUUCUGAACUUGUUGUGAGCACUUCUGAACAGCAGAACAUGCUGACAAGAUGCAAUGUGACCCCUCAUCAUCAGGAGGCUGUAACUCUCCCAAGUUCAUUUAAACAGCAGCAUUUUAUUGCAGCUAGGUGUUAUGCACUAUACAAAAACAGUUUUAAUUUUAUUUCAGACUCUCUUGCCAUUCUAUUAUUUCCCUCUCUAAAUAACUUUACAUUGCUCUAGGGAUGAUACUCAGACCUUAAUGGUGAAAGGGAUGUUAUAAGGAUCCAAACAAAUCAUUUGGUUGUUAGAAAUGAUAAUUAGAUUGCCCUCUAAAUUCUUCUUCUUCUUCAAGAAAUCCUAGGAAAUAAUGCAUUCCAUCUUUAGAAAUCAGCCAAGGAAUAAUUCAAAAAUUGAACCACAUAAAUUAUUAACUUGGUUCAAUUUUAGAAGAGAAAAAUAGACUCAGGGUACAUAUUCAGCUGUAGUCUGUGAAAAUUAAACCUGCAGCUCUAUUUAUUUUUAAUGGAACUUUUGUGCUAAAUUAUUCUUGAUAGGUCACAUUGAAAACUUUGUACUUGGUGUUUGUGUGUGAUUUCCUCCUUGAGAUUAUGGCAUAAUACAUGUAUCUUAGGCCAACAAUUAAUAUUUAUUUAGGCUUUGUUUAUGCUGCAAAAUUGUGAGAGCAGUUUGGGGUUUUCAACUUAGAUAACAAUCCCUGUACAUGUGCAGCAGAAAUUCAAGAACAGUUCAGCCACAUACUGUUGAGCACCACAGCAGUUUAUUCACGGGCUACUCGAUCAAAAUGCCAAGAUCAAAAAUGCCCACUAUUGUUUUUAACAUUUGCUUAUAGAUAUAAAAGGCUAAAGCCUUCAUGUUUUUAUUUCAUUUAUUUAUUUAUUCCACAACAUUCAUAUACUUCUGAAUUGCAAGAAAACUGCAAAGCGGGCUGCAUAAAGAAUAAAGCAAUUAAUAUCAGUGGUAAAAAAAGAGUUUUAGACAGUAUUUAAAACAUUAAAAAAUUAAUUUAAAUCAACAAUAAACUACCGUAUUUUUUGCCCUAUAGGACGCACUUUUUCCCCUCCAUAAAUGAAGGGGAAAUGUGUGUGCGUCCUAUGGGGCGAAUGCAGGCUUUCGCUCCCAUGGCUUGCGGAGAGUUGCCUGUUCUGGGGGCUGGGGUCGGGGGAAGCUCGGGCUUCCCCCACCCCAGCCCCGUGCCUGGGGAGGAAAAUAAUUCCCCCCCCUUUAUUUCCCCCCCAAAAAACUAGGUGCGCCAUAUGGGACAGUGCGUCCUAUAGGGCGACAAAUACGGUAAAACUAGCUUAAAAGAUGUUGCACUUUCUACAUGCCUAGAGAGGCUUGCCUAGACUUGCCUUGCUGGGGUGGUGGUGGUGGAUUUUGACCUCAUAGAGGGCACCAUACUACCCAAGUCUGCCCUUGUUAAGUGUGUGUAUUCAUGCAUUGUGUGUGUUUGUAUGUGCUAUACGUAUACAUGUGGAUAUGUCGGGGGGAGUCAUUCCUACUUUGGCUAUGCACACUAUUGUCUUGGCCACACCCACCAUUUCCAUGCAGAUGCUGGGGAGUUGGUCAAUAGUGAAUGCAGCCCUUGAGGCAAGAAAGUUUUCCCACCAUGACAACUAUCUAAAAUUCCCCUACCAUAAACAUAAUAUUUUCUGUUAUAGAAUUGUAGAGUUGGAAAGGAUCCAAAGGGUCAUCUAGUUUAACCCCUUGCAAUGCAGGAGUCACAGCUAAACCCUAACCUUGUGGCACUCAAAUCAGAAGCGUUAACACUCAAAUCGUCAGUAUAAUACUCAAAACAGAUGUGUGGCACUCAAAACGGAAGUAUGGCACCCAAAACAGAGCAAGUUUGGCUUCUGAAAAAAGUUCUCAAACCAGAACACUUACUUCCAGGUUUGCAGUGUUUGGGUUCCAAGUUGUUUGAGUACCAAGGCAUUUGAGAACCAAGAUACUACUGUAAAGCAGAAUGGCACUGAAUUAACAAGUAAAAUAAGAAAACUAAAACUAAAAAUUAAAAAUAUGUUGAGAAUUCAUGAUUGAGACAUACCUGUGUAGUAAAUAAUAUACAAAAGUAAGCAGUAUAUAAAUGGCUUAAAGCAGGGGUGUAUCUACAAUAAUAAAGGUGAGACAACAACUAGCCUACUCACACAUACAUAGUUGAUAACCGCCAGUCCCACUAAUACAAAAAGUCUCUAUAAAAACUUACGUGUCUGAUCAGCAUGUUUCCAUCAAGAGGAACAUAGAAAGAGGAUGAGACCUAUUCUGAUGGCUGUUGGCAAAUUAAGAUACAAGUAUUUUCCAACAGAGAUUUAGUCAAUCAUAUGAAAGCUGCUUAUGGUCAUCUUCUUGCUUGAAAAUAUUGUGGAGGCCUUAGAAAUACCUUUGAAAACAAAUCUAAAUUGGCAACUAAGUUGAUAUGAACGAUCACCAAAAUUACUCAGCUGUGGGAGAUGUCCCUGCAUUUUAAAACUAGGUUACACAGGCCUCUUUAUGUUAAAACUCACAGAAAUAGUAUCUGGGAGAGAUUAGAGUAUAAUCAAAGCUAACGUGUUACAUGGGCACCAAUGGUUAACUAUUUGGUGGGUUCCCAUCUUUCUGAGACUUUUCUUGGGGUCAGGGAAAUGAUUUUUUUAUCUAUUAGAGAAGUAGUAGAAAAAAACUAAUUACAAAUUUGGUUGUAGCCAAUUGCACUCACUCAUUUUGUAGCUGCAAAAUCAACCACAGCUCAGGCUGCUUGACAGGUGUUAAAGAUCAGCAGCUGUAGAAACAGACUGAUAGCUACAUUAAAGUUCCACACCUGCAGGAGAAGAAUCAUUCAUUCAUUCAUUCAUCCUGGGAACUUUGUCCUUUAGCUAUAAGACAAGGUUUUCUUUUGGUAAAUGUGUUGCUCUACUGUUUCUAAGUAAACAGUGAUAGUAAUUAAAGCUGUUAUGUCUCUUCUAGGCUAAGUGAACAUCAGUAAUAAAGUUGGGAGGAAAUACAACCCACACUUUAAUUGGCCAGAUUUGUAAUUUUUCUACUGUAGAGGAUGAAAUGUUGGUGAAUAAAGAAAGAGGCAGUAAAUUCUUCUUAUUGCACAGGAAAUUGCUUUAGCACUUAGUUUUAAAUGCAAUUCAAAGUGACAUGUUAUUAAGAAAAAGAGCUCAUGACAAGAAAAGUUUAUUCCAGUAAGACAUAAUGGAACUUUACUGAAUUUUAUUAUAUGAGUUUGCUGAACUAUCUGUAAUGCAUAAAAUAAUUGCAGAGAACAUGGGCAUUAGUGGAGUAGGUUAAGCAAUGUAUAGGAUGAAUCUGAACUGGUUGUUUUGAUAAAAUGUACCAUCGUCUAGGCCAGUGGAAGUGAUGAUAUUCCAGCUGAACUAUUUAAAGUUUUAAAAGAUGAUGCUGUUAAGGUGCUACACUCAAUAUGCCAGCAAAUUUGGAAAACUCAGCAGUGGCCAGAGGACUGGAGAAGAUCAGUCUACAUCCCAAUCCCAAAGAAGGGCAGUGCCAAAGAAUGCUCCAACUACCGCACAAUUGCACUCAUUCCACACACUAGCAAGGUUAUGCUAAAAAUUCUACAAGGCAGGCUUAAGCAGUAUGUGGACCGAGAACUCCCAGAAGUGCAAGCUGGAUUUCGAAGGGGCAGAGGAACCAGACACCAAAUUGCAAACAUGCGCUGGAUUAUGGAGAAAGCUAGAGAGUUCCAGAAAGACAUCUACUUCUGCUUCAUGGACUAUGCAAAAGCCUUUGACUGUGUCGACCACAGCAAACUAUGGCAAGUUCUUAAAGAAAUGGGAGUGCCUGAUCACCUCAUCUGUCUCCUGAGAAAUCUCUAUGUGGGACAAGAAGCUACAGUUAGAACUGGAUAUGGAACAACUGAUUGGUUCAAAAUUGGGAAAGGAGUACAGCAAGGCUGUAUAUUGUCUCCCUGCUUAUUUAACUUAUAUGCAGAAUUCAUCAUGCGAAAGGCUGGGCUGGAUGAAUCCCAAGCCGGAAUUAAGAUCGCCAGAAGAAAUAUCAACAACCUCAGAUAUGCAGAUGACACAACCUUGAUGGCAGAAAGUGAGGAGGAAUUAAAGAACCCUUUAAUGAGGGUGAAAGAGGAGAGCGCAAAAUAUGGUCUGAAUCUCAACAUCAAAAAAAUGAAGAUCAUGGCCACUGGGCCUAUCACCUCCUGGCAAAUAGAAGGGGAAGAAAUGGAGGCAGUAAGAGAUUUUACUUUCUUGGGCUCCAUGAUCAGUGCAGAUGGUGACAGCAGCCACGAAAUCAAAAGACGCCUGCUCCUUGGGAGAAAGGCGAUGGCAAACCUAGAAAGCGUCUUAAAAAGCAGAGACAUCACCUUGCCAACAGAGGUCCAUAUAGUUAAAGCCAUGGUUUUCCCAGUAGUGAUGUAUGGACGUGAGAGCUGGACCAUCAAGAAGGCUGAUCGCCGAAGAAUUGAUGCUUUUGAAUUAUGGUGCUGGAGGAGACUCUUGAGAGUCCCAUGGACUGCAAGAAGAUCAAACGUAUCCAUUCUUAAGGAAAUCAGCCCUCAGUGCUCACUGGAAGGACAGAUCGUGAAGCUGAGGCUCCAAUACUUUGGCCACCUCAUGAGAAGAGAAGACUCCCUGGAAAAGACCCUGAUGUUGGGAAAGAUGGAGGGCACAAGGAGAAGGGGACGACAGAGGACGAAAUGGUUGGACAGUGUUCUCGAAGCUACAAACAUGAGUCUGUCCAAACUGCAGUGGAAGACAGGAGUGCCUGGCGUGCUCUGGUCCAUGGAGUCACGAAGAGUCGGACACGACUAAACGACUAAACAACAACAACAACCAUCGUCUAGAUCAUGAGAUAGUCAUAACAAGAAAAAAUGGGAAUUCCAUAGGAUCUUCCAGGCACAUACAGAGACCUUGUCCCAGUUACAGACAGUAAAAGAGCUCAUGUAUUUUUUUGCACUUACUUAGGAGUAUGCUGUUCCCUAUUUCCCUUAUAUUGCAGCAGUGGCACAAGCAAUUCCCUACUCCUUUCACAGCAGCGACAUAAGCAAAAGUACCAAAUUCUCAGGCCAAACUAGGCAAGAUACCAUUUGUGAAAUUAACAAUUAUGUGGAUUACUGUUUUAGAAGUAAAUAAUUAAAAGCAAAUAGUAAACAUGAAGACCACAAUCCAGAUUGAGGACCUCAGCAGAAAUUAUGGGGGCUGUAGCACUGUUCCCUCAUAUGAAUGGGAUUUUCCCCUCAAUAGAAAGCACCAAAGGGUAUCUGGAGUCAAUACCACUGCAAUUUAAAGUCCACCCUGGUCCCACCAGUGUCCGAAUCCAGAACUUCUCCCAUGCCUGCUAUUCACUUUCUAAAAGGCACCCAUGCAUUCUGUGAAUGACACCUAAUUUGGCCUUCACUGCGCUAUGCCUACUGAUAUAGAUCCCACUAAAUAUUAUUUGCCAAGUGCAAAAUUGUCCUUUUGCUAGGGAGACAAUCUUAGAAUUAAGUAAAAGGAGCAAUCAGAUGCUUUUCCAUUCUCUCCAGCUCCAUAAGACUCAUGUUAAGCAUAUAUGCUCAUCAGAAACUGGAAUGUUUGCACUGUGAAUAUUGCUGCUCCAGAACUGCAUCAGAUCAUAACAGUGGAAAUAGUGGAUAAGAUGUUUCCUUAUGUCAGCUUUCAGAAUCUACCACUAGAUCUUAUCAACUUCUUUUCUAAGCUUAAGCAUUUGAUUAGGCUGCUAUAAGCAUAUGGUUUUAAUAGUACUAUGGUUCUGACCCUGAUCAUGAUAACCAGCUGAACUAUUAUGAUAGCCUUUCAUUUAAAGAAGUGUACCGCACUGUAGUCUAAACCACAGAGCCUCUUGGGCUUGCCGAUCAGAAGGUCGGCGGUUCGAACCCACGCGACGGGGUGAGCUCCCGUUGCUCGGUCCCUGCUCCUGCCAACCUAGCAGUUCAAAAGCAUGUCAAAGUGCAAGUAGAUAAAUAGGUACCGCUCCAGUGGGAAGGCAAACAGCGUUUCCAUGCGCUGCUCUGGUUCACCAGAAGAGGCUUAGUCAUGCUGGCCACAUGACCCGGAAGCUGUCUGCGGACAAACGCCGGCUCCCUCAGCCAGUAAAGCACGAUGAGCGUCGCAACUGCAGAGUCGUCCACGACUGAACUUAAUGGUCCUUUACCUUUACCAAUAAAUUAUUAUUAUUUAAAUAUUAUUAUUGAGAUUUUUUUACAAUAUAUUACAGAUAGCAUUAACAAUAGGCACAUCACUUUCAAAGUGUGGGAAAAGAAAAGAUACUUUAUCCACCACACACACACAGCAAAAAACAUGUCAUUCAAGAAGCAAAAGGAAAAAUGUCCCUCCAGAAAGAAGAGGUCAAUGCUAGUGGUCUACGAUACUGACCACCCACAGAAGCAAAUCAAUGGGGCCAGACAUUAACAAAUGCAUCUGAAUGUGGGAUCACCUCUAGCUUUCCUGCACUCCUAUAUUAACUUUUCAUCUAAGUCUAAUUGCCGUAGUCUAUUAUACCAGCUUCAAAGAGAAACGUGUUAAGGACCCUUCUAGCUUGGUGCCACUUCCACGUGUGCUGCCUUGAAUUAUUCUUUAAAAAUGCUUUCCAAAUGCAUAGGCAGAGUAAGGCAGGUGCCUCAGGAAGCAAUUACUGGGAGGUGUGGAGUGGUGCCCCUAAAUUAGCCUGCUGUUCUCUGUUGCAACAAUGGACACCAGCAGUAUUCAUAUAAGGUUCAGCUUCUAGUUUUGUCUACUUAAUGUAUAUGAAUGGAAUGAAGAAGAACACCAUCUUGCCUUUUGCCUCAGGCAGCAAAAUGUCUUGAGCCGGCCCUGUGCAUAGGACAACCAGAUUUCUUUAAGCUUCAGUGUCUUUUGCAGCUUUAUGUGUGUGGUAAAUCCUAGGUCAAAUAAAAAACGCCACUGAAUUCAAUAUGGCUAGUAUUUUACACUUGGGAUACAGUCCCAUGGACACUGAGUAGGGAGGGUAAUUCACUGGACACAGUGGCAGUUACUUCUGAGGAAACAUGCAUAGGAUGGCACUGCUGGAGCCUGUGAUUCACCUUAACUGAGCUCAACUUUGUUCUCUGUGCAUAUGCAGCUGGAAAAUAAUAAAACAAGCUUUUAAAAGUCCUAGCUUUAAUUUUUUUCAUUCAUCUUGAUAUACUGAAUUACAAGAAGGAGGGUGUCUUUCAAGAUAAUCACAUUCUGAAGUGCAUUAGAAAAUAUUUCAUGUGUCUCAGCUGACAUGAUUUAUAGAACUAUUGGAUUUAUAGCCUUCUGCUACUGUUUUAUUUGCAAGAUUUGUGGACAAUGAAGGAAACAAUUCUUCCUUUAUAGAAAGAAUUAUACAUGUAGGGAAAGGGUAAAAGUUGAAAUGUCCUGGGAAUAUUGAUACUUACAUUUAUGAUAUAAUUAAAGAAUACUAAAAAUUGCUCAACAGAGUUAACUGAUGAGGUCAAGAAUAAUAAAUUAGAUACUGAUCUUAAUAAUACCUCCUCCUUUGUUUUCCUUUCCGCAGCAAGUUGACAGGCUUUGCAAGCCAUAAUAAAUUUGAGUGCUUAAAGCUUCCUCAACAGCCAUCACAUCCUGAUGUAACGCAUAGCUUUUGUUUUCUUGUAUGCAUGGUUUAUCCUUCUUUAUGCCCCGUUGUUGUUUUAGAAAUACAAUCUAAACUUAUUUAAUUAUAUAUUUUAGAUUGCAUCUUCCAAAUGUAAAAAUGUAAAAAAGUUCCUCAGCUUUAGGGGGGGAAAUAAGGAAAGGAAACAAUAGUUUUAGUGGUAUGCUCACAGCUCUGUGUUGAAUUCAAGCACAGUGAUUUAACUGUGUUGUUUUUCCUUAAGUGCAGUUCAUCCUCCCCAUCCCUCUCUUCCCUUGGAAUAUGGGAAAACUUGUGGCUGCCUAUGUUUAGGAUCCUGUAUAUACAAAUUAAGCCCCCAGGAUAGCCAACGUGGUACUCUCUAGAUGUUGUCAGACUACAGCUCCCAUCAGCACCAGUCAACGUGGCCAAUGAUGAGGGAUGGUUGAAGGUUACUGACAGUGACAUGGGAGCAGGCUUGGUAUUAUUACCAAAGUGACAAGCAAAGAGGUCAUUAGGAUGCAGUUCUCAUGCCACUGCACCAAAGUGUGAAUUGCCCCUGCACUUAAAAGUUUACUGAAGUCAAGGCCCUCAGAUUGAGGACGAAAGGUAAAAGAUAAAGGUAAAGAACUUGGGGACCGUUAAGUCCAGUCAAAGGCGACAAUGAGAUGAGACGCUCAUCUUGCUAUUCAGGCUGAGGGAGCCAGUGUUUGUCCACAUACAGCUUUCCGGGUCAUGUGGCCAGCAUGACUAAACCGCUUUUGGCACAAUGGGACACCAUGAUGAGUGCCAGAGCAUACGGAAACAUCGUUUACCUUCCCACCGGAGUGGUACCUAUUUAUCUACUUGCACUGGCAUGCUUUCGAACUGCUAGGUUGGCAGAAGCUGGGACAAAGCAAUGGAGAGCUCACCCCGUCGCGCGGAUUUGAACUGCUGACCUUCUGAUCAGCAAGCCCAAGAGGCUCAGUGGUUUAGACCACAGCACCACCCACGUCCCUUUUGGGAAUGAAAACCUGUAUUCCAGAAUGCAAUGUGAUACCUUCAUAGGAAUACACUGCUACAGCCAUUGGAAAGGGCAAGGGAAUAAAAUACCAAUAGUUCAUAGUGCAUAACAGUUAGAACCAUAAGAUGUUUUACCACUCACUUCAACAGAAUGCAGCCACAGACGGUUGCCUUCAUCCUUUGAAAGAUGUUCAAAUAAAAUGUAUGUACUGAGUGCUAUAUCAAUAAUAAAAAAAAUACAAAACAUAGCAUUAUGUCAGCAAUCCAAGGACAUUAUAUUGGAGUUCUAAUAAAAUACUCUAUGCAAGGCUGUAAAACUGCACAUCUUUGUAUUUUCUGCGACCCACUCAAAAAGCCUUUCAAGUGAGAUGGUGAAAGGUGGUUUGCGUACUAAAGGCCUGAUCUGUUUAUGCAAGUGCAAAUCUAAAGAGUUCUGAAAUAGGGGUCUUCAGUUCAGUGAUACAAUGAACAUAAUUGUUGUUUGUAACAAUAGAGUUUUGUAUUGGAAAACACCAGUUAUCCAACAGAUGUUGUCUUCAUUUUUAGCUUUACAGCUGCUUCACAAUCCUUUUGUGCAAGGAUAAGAACAGGUGGGAGACCCAGCUGGACAGCAUCAUCUUCUUACACUGCAGCGUCAGUAAUAAAAAAAAGAGCUGAGCCAACAAGUUCACCUUUUAAAAACAUUUAUAGAGACAAUAGCACUCCUCCUUUCUUUUGCUUUCAAAAGAAAACACACUUUUUAAUGAGUUGGACAAAGCCCACUUCCUCCAGAGUCCCAGUUGUCCUCAGAGCCUUAUGGCAACUGUCCUCUCUGUGUGGUUUUAAGCCAGAUUAAGCACUUACAGUAAAGAUUCAUUUAAUAUACAUAUUUCCCAAAAAGGAAAAUGGAAAAUGCCAACCACUAUUAAUGUAAUAGUGCAUUAAUCGUUCACAAAGGGAUUGGAAAGUAUCGGUAAAUAACUCAGAGCAUGGGCUGCUUUAUGACAAAUUAUUUUGUUCCCUACAACUAUAUACACUGUAUAUGAUGUGUUGCUUUUGGAUAUCAUCAGCAUUCAUAGCUAGGAUCUUGCUAUCAUUCAUCAGUGGAAAAGCCAUAACACUGAGCCCACAAUAAAGAUUUAUCUGACAGUAUAUAUUUCCUCUGGCUUCAUUUCCACUGACAACAAUGUAUGCUUGGCUUAGGUUACAUUUCACAUAAAAUAUCCAUAUCCAUAUUUGGGCGAGGUAGUAGUUUGAUAAUGUUACCGAAAUGUAAAUGUAAAGAAAAAGAAAAAAAUAGGAAUAUGCAUCCACAUAUAUAUAUAUAUGGUUGGGUUCCAACUUAACCAUAAUUUCAGUAGAGCCACUAAAAUUAAAUCAAUGGGACUUGUAAGUCAUGAUUAAUUUAAGUUCCAUUUAUUUCAGUGAGUGUACUCUAAGCAUGACCAAGUUUAGAUCAAACCCAUUUACCCAUUAUUUUCUAAAUGUAGCCAAAAUAGUGUUAAUUGUUACCCAUGUUCUAAAACUGUAGGGAUAGUGCUGCUGGCUUUAUUUUGUCUGUUUAGAUUAUUAUUAUUAUUAUUUAUUAAUUAAAUUUCAAUACUGCCCUUCACCCAAAGAUCACAGGGCUGAUCACAAUAUAAAAAACACAAAAAAUAGAUCUCAUAAUAACAAACAAAAACAAUAUCUCCCCGCCCACGCACAGUUUAAAGGCCAUGGAUUGUUUAAUCAGCCAAAAGGCCUGGAAGAAGAUGAAUGUUUUUGUCUGGUGCCUAAAGAUGUACCGUGCAGGCGCCAGACCAACCUCCCUGGAGAAGGCAUUCCACAAGCAGGGAGCCACUGCAGAAAAGGCCCCGUUCUCGUGUUGCCACCUUUGACAACUUCUCAGUCACGUUGUGAAUCUUUGCACCAAGAAGACAGCACACCUUCUGGGACAUCUUGUUACCUCUACACACUUCUGCCUCUGUCCUCCUCAGUAGGAAAUUCAGAGGUCUGGGUGAAGACAUGAUGCCCCCAGUGCUAGACUUCUUAUCAGUUAUUUGGGAGGCUUAAUAAGGAAUCCUAGUGGUUCACACACAGCUGGGGGGAAGCAUGUAAUAAAAGAGUUCUGUUCAUUUUCUUCCCCUCACUUUGUAUAAUAUUCAUCACCUUAGAUCACACAGAACAUUCAAAAACCUUUUUUUUUAAAAACCACACCUUGCAAUGUGCAUCUCAUGUUUUAUUUAUGGUCUAUUUUUAUUCAAAGCUGUCCUCUUUUCCAGUGAAGACUGCUCACUUAUAACAGCUUAGAUAUUAUUAUUACUUUUAAAAAAGUUCCAUUUGCCUUUACUUAUCCUUUGGCACUGUUAUUUGGGAGAGGGGGAGCAAUUGUUUUUUAAUAUGGUUUGUCAGGUUGCUUUUGUAUUGUUUUUGCCACUUGAUACCAAGUACGUCCAUUUGUUGAAAGUUCAUCCUUUUUUUUUUUAAUUCUAAAUAAAAGACAUAACAGGAGUUUGAUUUUUACAAAGCCCCUUUUUUGCUACAUAGCCACAUAUGUAGCCACAUUAGAAGCUGGGACCCCUAAUCCAAACUGAAUAAGAGGUUUAAAACUGAAGUGAUACUUUACUGGCUUACUUCACUGACAGUAUGUUUAGAAAUUGCAACAAUUGCCUUAGUGAGAAUAAUUUAUUGUAAUUGGAAGGCAUGGGGUUUGCUUAUGUCUGGAAUAAUGCUACUGAGCAUGAGUCAUCUACACUUCAGAAGAAUGCAAAGAGGUAAAAAUCAAAUUUUGUUUGACACCUGGAUAAGUGCCUUAAGGCUAUAAAACUGAUGGCCUUUGAUUGGAACGGCAUCAGUAAAAACUGUUGCCGACUGCGCUGGGAAGAACAGGUUGAAUAUGACUAUCUGAGAUAUUCCUAGAAUAUGGAAGGAAUAAAUAGAUGUCAAAGCGCUUGACAGGUGCUUCAAAGAGAUAGCUGUAAUUAUUUCAGUCUCAAGGACACUUAACAUAACAGGAAGCAUUUUGGUCAAUCUGUUAACACUGACAAUUUAUAAAGUAGUUUUCAUUUUUCUUAGAGAACUCAGUGCUAAAAAACCACAUAGAAAUCAGGUGGCCAAGCUUCAGGCUGUUUUAAAAUAUUUAAUUGUGAGCUGCGCAGUUUAGGACUUUGGAUUUGUGCAGACUGGGGGGUGGCGGGGGCUGUACUCCAGAAGAAGCCAGCACAUUUCUUGCCUUAAACAUUACAUUCCCUUGUGCAUGCAUGUGAGAUACAGUAUAUCAAUAGCUGUACAAAUACUACAGACAACAGUACAUGGCUUAUCACUUCUAAGCUACACUCUUCUGCUCUGAUAUGAGCAACUAGAUUUCCACUGAAGCUGUAUCUACAUGAUGAGAAUAAUUAGCUGUUUUAGUCCACCUUUCCCCCUGACACUCUGCAUCAGAAGCAGCUGAUGCAAUGAGCCUGAAUCACUCUCCCAGUAAUGGUAUUGGUAUUGUUCCAGCUUGGUAUUGUUCUGAAACAGUGGUACUCAGGUUUUUGUUAUACACAAGUAUAAAAACGGUUAAGAAUUGGAAAACUUAGAGGCGUCUAAACUUGACCCCCCUGCAUGAUGCUAUAAUCAUCAGGAUCAUAUUUGAUCCACCAUAUUUGAUCCACCAGGCCUAUGAAUCCAGCUCUCGGUGUUCUCUGGGAGCCAUAGCCCUCUUACUGACUAACUGUUCUCUCAUUGUCCAGGCAGGUAAAGCAGAAUGCUCUGCUUUGCCACUGGCCACCUCCGAUUUUUAAAAGUCUUCCAACUCAAUCUUAAUCAGAGUUCGCCAUUCAGACAAUACCAGCUGAAAGACUUGUGUGUUCAAUUUCCUGCCACACAUAGAGAGAAAUAUCUGUGUCCUCUCUACCUCCCUGCCUCAUGUUUUCCUUUGCUUAUGCUAAAUCUUUGUUUAGCUGAAGACGUACUUCCCUUAGUGGUUGCUCACAAGCCCUUCCUUUUGUGGCUUCUCUUAGUGGCAGUAGGCUCACAUCACCAGUGAAAUGAACACCUUGCACAAAUAAGAAUGGGAGUCGAGUCUUACAGGAUGUGCUUCGGAUGUCUAGGUGAAAACAUGUGGCUUUUCCUACGCUGCUCGGAGGGCAGGAAAAUGCAGCAGUUUCAUUUUGAAACAUUGAAAUUAGACAAUAAAGACUCUUGAAAAAUGUACAUCUGGGGAACCGUUUUCAGCAUCUCAUAUUCACUGAGCAGCAUACAGGGCAUUUUCAUGUUAUUCCUAAUUGCUUAUUUUCUCCUAAUGCACUUCUUUCAUUUCAUGGUUUUUUUUAAUGCAUUCAUGUCGUCACAAAGAAAGGCUUCCCAGUUUGUUUUGUAACUCGGUUUCUUUAAAAGUGUCCAGAGAAGACCCAGUUAAGCAAGGGUCUUCCCCUCAACAUACAUUUAUUUAUCUAUUUUAAAGUAUUUAUAUACCACUUACCAUGUUCAAAAAACACAGACCCAAUGGUGGCAGCUGUUGAGAAAUAAGCUCUUCCAGUAGGCUAAACCGCUGGGCAGGAUUAGAGAAGGGCUUUAUUCUCAUGAAAGCCAACAGAAAGUUCAAAAGCAAUAAAAAUGGUUCUUAAAAACCUUCACAGAGCCCUAGUUCCUAUGUGCUUAGAUCUUGGAUGGGAGGAAAUCUUCAUACUUCCUACCAUUACUGAGCAGUAUUGUGAACUUCAAGGGCUCUCAUACUAGCUUCCCAUAAAUUCUGUUUUCUACUGAAGUCUCCCAGCAUCAGUGUAUUUUCUUACCUUAUCACAGAUGUUUUUCCUGUGGGAAGGUGGGGAGGGGACAAGUUCCUCAGGUGCCAUCUGUGGGUUCUGUUUUGCUGACUCCUGCUCACUGAAACAAUAGAAUGUAAGAAGAUUCAUUACAUUACAUUAGAUAGUGAGAUUCAUGAUAAUGUUAUCUAAUCAGAUGUAGUAAGAUUCAUGAACGUUAACUAAUCAGAUAAUGAGUAGUUUACCAAAAAAAUUCAUUUAUUUCUUUAAAUGAUUUACUGUAUAUACCACCCUUUGUACAAGCCACAGGCUGUUUACAAUGAGGUCAGAUGAGAUAAAAAGAAUACAUAAGAUCCACAGACAACACAGACUUUAAAAUACACAACUUAUAAUAACUCACUUAAUAGUAGUUUACUAAUACCUGCUAUUUAACUUUCUACACAUUGAUUGGUUUUUUAUUUAAGACGUGGCAAAAUAUUUGGGUUACAAUGGCUUAUAGCCUAUGUAUUAAUGUUUAUAUGCAAACAACAUUAUAUAGUGUUGAAUUCAUAGUAGUUAUUGGAGAACUCAAAAAAAACCCUUGAACUUACAAUGCUUUCUCUUCUUGGCUUUCUGGGACAAAGAAGAACUGUCCAGCAGUAUAUAGGAAGUGGAUGUAAGCUCUUGUCUUCAUUUGUACAAAUAAAUCAAAUAAAUUAUACAACCAAAAGGUUAACCAAAUUAUUUAAACAUAUGAGUGAAAUCAUUUGGGACCAAUAAACCUAUCUCAGUGAUUAAACAAAAAAUUAGAAAGUUUUUUCGAAGGUUAUGUUGAGGUUUUUUAUUUUGAAUUUUUAAUCCAAAUAGGAAGAGAUGGAAGCAUCUCUUGUGUGUUGUACGUUUUCAUAUUAUAUUAUCUAAAAGAGGUGAAAACCUUUGCAAGUUAAGCAUAUUGCAGCUCCAAACAUUAGACAACUGGCAUUGACACUACACUGUGUAAGGAAUGUUACUAUGCAGCAAAAUGCAGGUAUGUAGGUGUGCUUGUGUAGGACAAUCAUGGCACAUCACCAUUUGAAAAGUAUAAAAGUCCAGAACCUUCUAGACAAUCAGUUGUCUUGAUUCAAAGGUAAUAGUGUACUACAAUACUUAGAUUAUACAUGAUAGAUUUUGGAGGGAGGUGGCAGCCUUGCUGUAGGGCAGGGUUGGAAAUGUGGCUCUCUAGUCUCUCUGUUGAGACUUUCAGACUCUUCAUAUGCCUCCCUCAAUCACUGGUCCUGCUCUUUGCCUUCUUCCUGCACUUUUACAUUUGCGUGAAUUCUGAUCAUGGUUCUUGCUUGCUAGAAUGGAGGGUGGGGUGUGUGUGAGAAAGAGACUUUUGUAAAGCAGGAUUGUAGCCUUCUAUAAGAGUCACACCAUGCCACAUUCAUUCUUUAUUGGUUGACCAUGUUACCUUCUCCCCUCUUGAACAGACAGGCAGCUUGGCUUUAACUCCUUUGUUUCCCAUAUUCAGUCUUUGCCAAGUUGUGUCCCUUCUCCCUUCACAACAUUGCAAGACAUUGGAAUACAGCCCUUUCCCAUCUUCCCUCUCGGCAAACACCCUUGACCUCUUCUGUGUACGCUACUCUCUGGUCUUCUGUUAUAUUACUUUGGUCCCCUCGCAUCUCUCCAGCACUCUGCUGCGAACAUCAUUUUUGCUCAUCUUGUUCCUCUGUUCACAUAACCCCCUGCCUUAAAGCCCUAUCCUGACUUCCUGUCUGUUCCUGGAUUCAACACAUGCUCUUCAUCUCAAAGACCUCCAGGCCUUAUCUCUCCACUCUUUUAUCCUAAUACAUCCCUGCCUGUGAACUUUGCUUUACCAUCCUUCCUUGUCCAAAGCUAUCCUGCCACAUUUUCUCCCUUUGCUGCAAAUCACUUACUUCAAAUCACUCAUGAAAACCCACCUUAUCCAUAAAGCAGAACCCGUAACUCCCACACCCUAUUAGAAACUGAAUGCAUAACUAAGUCUAAGCACGUCCCAUUAAAACCUUCACUUUGCUCUUUUAUUUAGUAUCCUGCCUCCGCUUCCUGUUUGCCUUGUGUUGUUUAGCUUGUAAGUACUUCAGGAUAUGGAACUGUUCUCUUGUAUUCUGUUGAACACCGAGCACACUCCCUGAUGGUGCUACACAAAUAAAUGAAUAGAUCAAUAGGACAACAUCAAGCUGUACUUCCAGCCACACUACAAUACUUUUUCCUUGUGGUCUUGGACAUAAAUUACAAAGUAAUAUUCUGGUUCUCUGCCACAAAAUUAUAGACCUAAAAAUCACUAAAAUUCAAGACCCAGUAAAUGAAACUAUUCUUUCUUGUCAUCCCUUAGGACCACAAUGUUAUUACAAAAAAAAAAAAAAAAAAGGGAAACAGAGAUUUAGGACACAGAGUUCUAUGCCUAAUCUUCAAAAACUAUUUAUGUAUUUUAUAAAAAGGCAAAUCACCUUUGGGUUGUCUCUCUUUGAAAUGUAUUUGCUAAAUUUAGUCAGUGGGAAAAUAUGCUGGCAAUAUUCCAUAUUCUAUAUAACCUAGAAAUAUCUGAUUAUUUUCAUUUUUUUAUUGUCUAGAUUCAUAUUCUACAAGCCAUGGUUUGGAUUUAGUGUAACCUUUGUAGUUAUAUUUCAAUUUAAAAAGAAAAGGAGGUGUUUCUCAGGGCUUGAUACACAGACCACUUACUGUAGUCUCUUCUAUGCAUCACUAACUGCCUGUUCCUGUGAGGCAGUUUCACAAAUGGGGUUUUUCAGUUUUUCCUACUGCAGCUAAAGCCACGUUAUAAACAUAGAACUUGGUUUAAAAAAACACACUAUAAAAAACACUGAAAAUACUUGGGGAAACUUGGGGAAAAUAUCAUUCCCCUACCCACAAUUCCACUUGUAUGGUACAGCAGAGCGAGUGUUCUUCUUUUUCUAGUCAUUAUAAUCUUUACUCUUAAGAUAUUAGAGAAUUAGCAAAAUCAGAAUUAAAUUCUGUGUCUUGUAUUUAUUCACAUAGCUGGUAAAGAGCAGUCAUUGGAGACGCAAGCUUCUUGUAAUAGCUUCUGGCAUUUUUCAGCUUUUAUAUGUGAGAGGAAUUUUUCAAUUUCCAGUCUUUGGCCUUUCUGAUGAAACUGCUCACUAGGGUGCUUACUGUAGCAAUUCUGUAUUGUCUUUGUUUAAUACAGACACCUGUCCCUUAGGAACCAAGUGGAUUUCAAUUGCUUAUUAUAUACAGCCCACUGAGCAGACAUCCAGUGGUGAUUUUUGCUCAGCACUAGUUUCAACUUUUUUUAAAAAAAUGGUAACUAUAUUUUUAAGAAGCAGCACCCUCCAGACCUGAUUGACAAUGCUAUAACAGGCCAAAUCUUGAGGGUAUUCACAAUUGAAUAUAGUAUCUUGCUGAUGACUAUGGAUUCCUGAUCCCAAAUUCCCACAUACAAUAAUAGCAUAUCAAUAUAUAGACACGUCCAACAAACGUCUAACCAUUUUCCUCAGCUGAGAGAAAAUAAUUAUUUUUCCAGUUCUGAUAUAUUAAAAAAAAUCUACAAAGUACUCCUUAAAUGAAGGUGAGACUCAGCCUAUGCAAUAUCUUUACAACCAUCUCACUAAAACAGGGAAUCUCUUCCAUCUACUCUUCUUCUACAUUGCUUUAAGAAUAUAGUUCUUAUCUACCUUACGGGUAACACUUUAACUUCAUUAAGGCUUAAUAGGCGCCUACAAUACCAUUGAGGGGGGUUUUCAAAAUAUUUUGACUUUCAGUAGUGUUCAUCACAUCAAUUAUGUAGGGACAUAGAAGAGCUGUCUUACCUGGUUGAAAGUUACUCAUCUAUUAGAUAAGGGAGUUGCUCAUCUAUUAGUUCACUGCAUUUCUAUGAAUCUUCCUUUCUCCUUUCCCCACUACUGAGUAGGAGUCUUUAUCCCACUCAUUGUUAUCAAAGUAGACCAAUCCAAAUUAGACCAUAGCAUAAAUUACCUCACAGGAUUGCUGCAAGACUAAAAAUGUCAGCUAAGAAGAUCAGGAGGAAGGAACUAGACAAAAUAGCGGUCAACGGCAAAGGGGAUUCGGAUAUUUAAUUUGGCACAUCUUACCUGAAAAUCUUCUGCUAUUCUAUUCUAUUUAAUGCAACAAAUAAUUUUAGUAGUCGUGACCGUGGUUUUACUGUAUGUCUGUGCCUGAUGAUUUCAUGAUUAUUGUCCCCCCCCGUUUUGUUGUUUGUUUGUUGUUUGUUUGUUUUUUAUUCUCCUUCUGAACGAUGCCAUGGCCUAUGGCUAGUGCAAUAAAAAGUUUAAUUGGAAUUGGAAUUGGACUAAAAAUGUCUCUCUAGGCCUCCAAGAAUGAUCAGGAUCUGUUGGCCUCCGUCUAUCUUGGGAGACAAUGGAAGGGUACACCUUCAGGGGUAAAGAAAUGCAGAGCUGUUCUGCCAACAGACCUAGUGCCUGAAACCAGCUCCCCAUAAAGCAUGCCCUUGGGGAUCUGUCACCUUCCGUUCUGUGUGCAUGACCAAGCCAAGGUAGACAUCACUGAGGCAGAAGUGCAAACAUGCUGCGAAUGUGGGUUUGGGAGAGCACAUCUUUAUUUGAGAUGCUGUCCUGCUAUGCCCAAAAUUUUCCUGUGGUGCAGAACAUAUGAAAUACAUUGAGGUGUCACUCCUGGUGGGUGUGAGGUGCCCACAACUCACUUCCAUAAAGCAGCAUGCUCAGCCCACAAGCCUGGAAGACCUUCAUCUUGGUAUUGGUUGUUAGUAUCACAUUCUCCCAUACCCUUUUGGAGAGGUGAGCCAUUGCCAUAGCUGCCUUGCCAAUACACUUGUCCAGCUGAGCGUUGAUGGAAAAGUUUAUGGUUAUGGUGGAGCCCAGGUAGACAAAAUAGCUUACCACCUCAAGCAUGUGGUCACCAAUGCCAAUGCAGGGAGUGUUGGCGAUGUCCUGAGUCUAGAUGUUGGUCUUGUGGGGCAAUACAACAACAGAUCCUGAAGGAAGAAUGGUCCACAUUGUCUAUUUUACUACUGUGGGUGAACAGGAGAGAGUUGGGGGGGGGGAAUAAAAAAUUGCUCAGGUUUGAGAGCCAAGUGCCAUUUGGAAGAACAGGGAGCAGAGGCAGGUCUGCUCUGAGCACAGCCAUAAUGGGCAAAAGGUUGCACAGUGGAGGAGCAACUGUAGGGAAUGGAGUAGAAUGGUCAGUUUGCCUCCCAUCAAUUUCCUCCAUCUGACCCUUCCUAGCAUGCUGUAAGAAGAGCCCAAAGUCCCACUGGGAACUUUGGUGCCUAAAUGAGUCCUUUGGUGUAAAUGUGCAAUUUUAAAACGGAGUCUAUAGCUAGAAAUGGUUUAAGAAUUGCAUCACAAUAUAAAGAACAGUAGGAUUUAAACAAACAGGCUCGCAUCCACAAAAAGGAACAGGGUAGCUAAUAACUGACGUUCUCCCCCCCCCCAUUCUUUCUAUAAUUUAAAUUUGGUCUAAAUGACAAAUCAAUUAAACUUUCAUAUUUGCAUUAAAGGUUGAUGGAGCAGCCAGUCUGAAUUACUUUUAAAGCUGCAUAGAGGGCUCCCUUACAUACAUAAAAUGAAAGCAUAUGGAGAAGAAUUGAUCUCAGGGAAAGGAGAUUCCCAUAUGGUAUAAAAGCAAGGAAUUUCUUCAUAGAUUGAAAUAUGGAUCAUCUUUUAAAACAAAUCCAAAUUGCAGAUGGUGAAGCUCAGACUGAAAUGGAAAAGAUUCCUUGUUAUACCAGUGGAGCAAAGCAUAUGUUCCAUAUAAAUGCUAUAAAUAGUAGCAACUGGAUAAUCCUGUGGGACGUGUUUGCAUAAAGAAAGCAGCAAUAGCAAUAGCCAAUAUAUAUAUGCGCAUUUCCCCCCCCCCCCCCCGCCUAUAUCCAUCUAGUGGCAGCACAUUUUUCUGCUUAUGAUAUGUGCUAAAAUCCAAUGUUUGGUUCAAAAUAAAGCUAAUUUGCAUUGGCAUAGAGACUUAACUCACUGGUGUAUUAUUACUGUGUAAGCAGGUGUAGAAGCAACUGCAAAUAAAUGCUUGCUGAUGGAAUCCCAGCAGGGUUUCUGAUGAGUUUUCGUUUUGUUGAACCUUACCAAGGAAAUUACUGCGUAAAAAGCUUUGCUAUUAGUUCUUUGCCUGAAAAAAUCAUUUAGCUACACCUGGCCAGAUUCAUGGCAAUUAUACUAACUAUGCAUAGAGGCCAUACCAAAAAACUCAUCCACCUUUUUAAGCCAUGGCCUGAAAUCUGUCAGUGUAACAGUAGAAAAUAACACAACUAAGCUAUGAAUAAUAAAAAAGCAAAUGCACAUAAAGGGGGGAGGGAAAUGGAAUUUAAACUAGAAUCUAUGUAACUAUAAUGUAAUGGCCAAUAUUUAAAGUGAGAAUUGUCUACAAUUGUUUAUUUAUUUAUUUCAAAUAAUGUGUAGUGCUUAAUCUUUUGUAAUGGUUUUAAAUGGCUAAAAGUAUAUGUAAAUAGAAAUGCUAUGAUAAAAUAUCUCAUUAAUAGCUGAAAAAUGUAGGUGUGCAACACACACCUGGCACUAUAAUCCAAAUGCACAAGUUAGCUUUGAGUGAUCUUAGUGAAAGAGAUUCAAAAUGGAUACUAAAAUUGUUUAGAAAAUGAAUCUGUCUCAUGGUAAAAAGAUCCAGGGGUAAUAAAUCAGAACUAUUAUUUUGAUUUCCUUUGUAGUGAUGACAAUGGCAAUGCAACCCGUUAGCACAAAGAAAACAUAAACAACAGGAGUAUUCAGACUGUACUGAUUUUGAAUGCAAGUGUUUAUCUUGACAAAAAUAUCCCUAAGCAUAGAAGAUAUACUUAAAAAAGAGCGUUUAUGAAUUUUCCUUUACUCCAUAUGAGUUUGCCUUUAGAAGAUCCAUCCUUCUUGCUCUGAUCUGCAAAGUUUUCACACCUGUUUUCAUGGAUUUCUACACGAUCCUAUGCAUGCUUACUUGGAAGCAAAUCCUACUAAAUCCAAUGGGGCUCAUUGCCAUGUAAGUGCACAUGGGCCCUUAAGAUAUCAAAGCUGCAUUUUUAACUGAAGCUAGAGUAAUCAAAAUGUAGGUAUCAUACACCCUUUAGUCACAUGACUGCUUAGAAUGUGACAGCUGCCACACGCUGCAAAGAUUCUAAUCUUUAUAGUGUUGACAUGAUUUAUGUACGGCACCACAUCAGGCUAUAUUCAUCUAGAAACACAACACAAUUGCAAAGUAUGUAUCUGGGUAACCCCCAUGCAUUUAUAAAGCAAUAGGUUUCUUCCUUCUUCCUUCCUAAGAUAAAAAUAGCAAAUACAUUACAGUGGUAUCUUGGGUUACCAACACCUUGGGUUACAAACACGUCGGGUCACUGACUCCGCUAACCCGGAAGUAGUACCUCGGGUAUGGCUUAAUUUCUAAAUAAGAGCUAUGGAGUCAUCUUGUCUGAAAAUCAUACUUGGGCACUCUUACAAGGAGGCUCUUUCCCUGUCCAUAGAGACUAAUUGAUUUGUUUUUAAAAGAGGAGAUAAUGGCACUCUGCACAUAUGGAAUGGCAUGCUACUCUAAAUAAGUACUGUACAUUCUGGUGAAAACUGUAAGGUUAAAAAUGGCAGCCCUACCAAGCAAAAAUGUGGCCGGCCACCACUGCUUUCAACCCACUUUCAUUCUAAAAGGCAGUGGAAUGCUGAAUUCUUAAAAAACAAUGUAAACAUUGCACCAGUCCCUAAUUCAGCAGCAUAGGUGGUAGCAAUUUACAUACAUUUGAUUGAAAGCAAAUGUCUCUGAAUAAGGCAAAUGUGUAUUAAUAGGAACACCCCACAGAAAAUGUUAUUUCUGUUUUUAACCUAGAUCAGGUAUAUGAGUUUAAUUGAUAGAUCCAGACAAUAAUAUGGAAUUCAGUCUUUUAUGCUAAUGACCAAUUAAGUUAAUGGGGUUACUUAACAGCUACUUUGGUGCAAAUGAUUUGAAUAUUCAAUGAUGAUAGUGGGAAUAGCUCCCUAGAGAGCAAAUAUGAAUACUAAGAGCACAAUUCUAUCUAUAGGUUAUAUUCUGUCUAUAGGUUAUACCUUAUGAUCGGCAUAGAACCAUUGCUAAAUUUCCCUUCAGAAUAAAAUUAGACACUAGCAUAGUUUACUUAUGUCCGUGGUAAUCUACCAGCAGUGGAAUUACUUAUCUACCACUGGAGAACUGCCAGUGUAAUAGGAAAAAUCCAGGCAGAGCUGGGGUGUGGCAGGUGAGGAAUAUGUUUUAAUCAGAAUCUUAUCCGCAUUCAGGGCCCUGACCUGCCCCUGAUGAUGGAAUAGUGUUGUGCUUACAAAAGAGGUAGUCUAAGUAAAAAAAAAAUCUAAUGCGAUCCAAGUAUAAACAGCACCAGAACACUGCACAUCCUACUUCCUUACAUUUCUCUGUCCCCUUGUCUCUUCCUGGCAAUAUGCAUUGUUGUGGGAAGGGCAUGAACUGUUGGGAAUCUGAAGUGACAUACCCACAUGGCAGAAGUUGUCCCCAGUUCCAGUCAGCACCCAAAGGCACCUUAAGGUCCAAAAUAAUUUACUACUGAAGAAGAUAAGGCUUCUGUAACACAGUACUGGAUGUUGAUAUAUAUACAGAUAGAGAUAUAGCCGUACAAAGUAUUUCUGUUGCUCCAGCAAUUCAAGACGUAACACAGAUUCUGACUCACUUCUCAAGACUCACUGGCUGACUAAUGAGCUGACAUUCCUUAAUCACGUAUAUCAGGCAUAGGCAAACUCGGCCCUCCAGAUGUUUUGGGACUACAACUCCCAUCAUCCCUAGCUAACAAGACCAGUGAUCAGGGAUGAUGGGAGUUGUAGUCCCAAAACAUCUGGAGGGCCGAGUUUGCCUAUGCCUGACUUAUAUAGAUGGCACUGGGCAGUUGCCAUAGUAACUGGGUUCACUGACCUUGCACCUGUUGGCUUAUCUCAUACAUGGGGUGAUUUAUACUCAUGAAGGAAAUUAACCCCUUCCUCUAUGUCCAAUUCCUCCAACAUGAACUGAGUUCUGUGAAGUCAUUGUGGCAUCCCUGCCAUUGCCAAGGACACAUUGUCUGGUAGUGUUGUUGUGUUAUCUUUUGUUCCUAACCAUUAUUUUGCUUUGCUACUAAGAAUGCACAAGAUCAUGAUUAUGUGCUGUUAAGUGUUCAUUCUGGUACAGUUUUUGUUGACUUCAUAAAUCAUAGGAUUGGUAUCCACAAAACCUUCUAUAUCCUUCUGUAUUAUCUGAAUUUACAUUACUAUGAGAUUCCGAAAUACUGAGCACUUUACUUAUAUACAUCAACUUAUAUGUAUUAGAAACAGAAUUGUGCCCAUUAUCAAGCAUAAAAAGACCCUUAAUGUUCAUAUAUCCUUUCCAAGCAACAUCUUCAUUUAGGGGAGAUAGGAUAUGAUUUAUUUAUGAAGAGAGUUUAAAAAUGCUUCUAUUUAAUUUCUUGCCUAUAUCACGGACUUGCUCCAAAUCCCUCUUCUUCAAACUAAAACUCAUUUUUAUUCUCUCUUGCUGUAAUUAGGAAGACAAGGUAUAUUUUAGACCUUAGAGUAUUGUUUUAAUUUUCCCACACAGUAUUUAAACCACUUACACUGACACCUUUCAGAGUCUAUUUCUCUUAUUUAAAAGUCCCCUGUGGUUGUUCCUUGUCUCUCAAGUGAGCAUUAUCUUAGAUUUACUACUAUCUGUGUAACACCAGAGAAAAGGAAGAUGCAGCCAUACUCUGUCAGUGCCAAACAAUGGCUGCCAUUGUUCUUGGUCUUCCUGCGUGGGUUAUUGCUGUUGUAUACAGCUAAGUUAAAAAUGUGCAAAGAAAUAAAAUUAGAGUUCUGCAAUUAGUCCACCUGCAAUGCCCAAAACCUUAGCUGAGUUUCCUGAGUUUCUCCAAAUAUGCAAAUCCCAAGCUGGAAGGCUAACACCAAUCAAACUGGUUCCCACUGUGUAGCUUUGAACAAUUUUAAAUAUUCCUGUCAUGUUGCAUUUCACAUAACACUGCCACUACUCAUGAAAUACAUUUAGACAUUUCUGAGCUGAAUGUAAUAGAUGUGAUGAUGUGAAAUUAGGAACUGUUUGGAACACUUGCUGCCUAGAAUAACUGUUCUUGGUGAUACUGGAUCAGAAAUAUACAAAUUAAAUAAAUUUCUCUGUGUGACUGCCUGGCUCUCGCAGAUCAUGGUAAAGGACAUAAAACAUUAUUUUCACCAAGAUAAUUUUUUUCUGAUGAACUAUCCUGUUAGAAAAGUUGCUUGGCCUGAAAAUAAUCUUCAUCUGUCUCUUUUUAAAAUAGCUCUAUUUUGCCUGUGUGGCUGUCUGCAACAAGUAAUAUCCCAUCCACGCACUGCAAUUUGCUUUUUAAAUGGAAGUUGUUUGCUUUAUUUAUUUACAACUUCCAUAAAAGACACUUAAAGGAAAGCAUUUUUGCAUUAAGUCAUUUUCCGCCUCCAACAAUAUUACUUUCUUACCCAUCAACAUCUGGAGGACAUAUAUCUAAUAAUUUCCAUGCUGUUUUUUUCAAAUAGUUUAUUUACAUAAAUUCUCAAAUUACAAAGUAUUCCUUAACUCAUGCAUUAAUCUUGUCAAAUAUCGUGUUUCAUGUGCCAUAUUAGUAUGAUGCUAGGAACAUCCACAGUUAUCUCAGAAACCAUUUCCAUGCUUUGAAGAACCAUCAAGGCAAUGUGUUGAUCCAAAUGUACUACUGCAUGUAUUAAGAGCCUUCUAUGUAUUAAGGGCCUCUUCUGAUGGUGGAAGGGGCAUGAAUCUACUAGAGGAUUCUGCAAACGGAAGUCAGGGGCAUGAUUUUCACCACCACCACCCCACUUUACUCAGCUUUGCCCCAUUAUUUUUCAACCCUGCGAAGCAAAUUUUUGAGGGACUCGGGGGAGCUUAGACUUCAGAGCACACCACUCACAGAACUCUGGAUCCACCCCAAUGUAUGCAAAUCCUUCUGCUGUGGUCCAAACAUGAUUUCCAGUGCUAUUGGUCCUCUGACCACAGACAAGCUGCAACAGGCAGCUCAGAAGCAACACAAAAUAGUAAUACAGUUUGUUUCUGAAACUGGUGUGGGAAUUCCCUGAGGGCAGGGGAAGGAUCAUAGCUCAAUAGAAGAACAUCUACUUUGCAUGCAGAAGGUCCCAAAUUAAAUUCUCAUCUUCUCCAAGUAGGGCUGGAAGUUUCCCCGUCUGAAACCCUGUUGAGUUGCUGUCAGUCAGUGUAGACAAUACUGAGCUAGAUUGUCAGUAGAAAACAGUAGAAAACAGCCUCCUAUGUUCCUAAAAAAGCUGUGCAUAUAUUUUUUAGUGAUAGAAAGGGAAAUUAGGUUUCCCCAACAUGUAGUUUUGGGCUCUGUUGGCUUUGUUGCAGGUCAAGUUAUCUCAUGCUAUAAAUGAGAUGGCUUGGAUAGACAGCACAGGACAGGGAAAUAAUGGAGUAUUUAUUAUUAUUUUGAAGUAAAAAUACAACAUAGGACCGCUAAGGUAUAUAGCCAAAUCGACCCAGAGAACAAACAGCAUUCAUCACACUGCACGGAAGAUGUGGCCUUUCAAAAGGCAUGCAUUACGGGUAUAAUCCAGCCAAAGUUGAGCACAUAGCCAAAUGGUCUUUGGUCUCCUUUACAAUCCAUUAAGAUGAUUCAGUAGAUUGGUUUUUGCUUGAACUCAUGUCCCGAAUGGUUACCAUUAUUGGAAAUGUUCCUCAGAGCACAUUGACUAAGUAACUCAAUACAGCUUUUUUCCUCCUGCAGUACUUGUCUGAGCUCAGGUACAUGGGUAUCCCAGACUGAAUUUAAGGCAGGUGACCUGUGGUGCCAGGCUUUUGGAGGUGCCUGUCAACUAGUCACUAAAGAAAUGAAGUGAAGACUGAAAAACAAUUCAUCUUUACUUGUAAUGCUGUCAACACUGACCAGUAAAGCUGCAAGGCAAGUCUUGCAUUAAUAUAAUAAAGACAAUGAAAAUCUGUAACAUCACUGCCCAUUCAACAAACUGAAUGUAUGUAUCAAAUCCAUAUGUGAAAUUUAUAGGGCAGAGAUAAAAAAUGCAUACAACAUGAAAAGUGGUACAAAAGCACUAAAAAUAAGGUUCAGGUAAUAAAUAAUAUAGGCUUUCAAAGUUGAGCAAGUGGAACAUGGUGCCAGAGAUACUGACCUCCAAGGGCACCAUUUGAGCUGGGGCCACUGUUGUGUUUUCUGGAACAACUGUUCUCCUAACACUUCUUGCAAUGCAGUUCUUUGCUUGAAGUAUAUUGUGACAUCCGUUGCAUAGAUUAGGAGGCUGCUGCUCUUAGCUUUGAUUAAGCGGUUGCCUAACAUAGCUAUUUCGUAAUUUUGACCAUUAUUAUUAUGUGAUACGAGCCACAUAACAAAAGAAUUGCACAACACCCAACCACCUCAACACAAUGAGCUGGACAUACCAUCUUUUUAAUUAGUCCUGUUCUCCUAGGCACAACUGCAAAGCACACAUGAAAUUGCAAUUUUAUUUGCACACCUUUGUCUUCCAAGCCUCAUAUUGAACAUGUUACAAUAUACUGUCUACUUCAAAUAUUAACAUAUCAGUACUCAUGUGGCCCUCAGUAGAUUGCGAAAACUAAAAAUGUGGUAAUCAUCAAAGCGCCAUGCAAAGCCAUAAUGUAUACCAUAUGUUGAUCCUGUAUCAGCCCAGUACAUAGGCUCCCCAAGCAAAAUGUUAGAUACAAAAUGUUCCAGAAUAUAAUUUGCAGCAACACAAAUUACAAGAGGCAAUUUUCACUGAAAUUAUUAUUUUAAAAGAAAUAAAAAAGAGCAGCAUGCUGCAGUUUUCCUUGACCAAUCAAUUCUUAUUUCAAAAGGUUUUAACAAAUAUUUAAAAUGUAUGAAGGAAAACAUAUGGAGGAGCUUUCUGCAUGAAAAUGCCUCCCCUAAACUUUCUGAAGUGAAUGAAACCAAACAUUCAUCUCGGAUUCAUCAAGAUAAAUAAUAAUGUAACUAUAGGAAGAAACAUAUUUGUGAAAUCUAAAAUUUUGCCUUAGGUACUCCUUCAGAUGCAAGAUGUUGGAAUCUAAUACCUUCAUCUGCUUGGAAGUCCACUUUAAGUCGAUAGGAAAAGACAGAUAUGAGGAUAAAUAAAAGCUUUGCAGUCUACUGAGUUUCUUAGAACUAUUCUUAUUGAUCCAGUGUUUAAUGCCUAAUUUUUAAAGUCUCUCCAAAGGCAAGAGGCAAAGCUUCAGUGCAAAGGAUAUUUAUAAAGGGUUGAAGGAAGGGGUAGAGCCAGAAUUUGGGAACAUAACAGACAUUUUGUAGCCUAAAGUCUUCUAUAACAAUCACAUUUAAUGAUUCUUCACAGGGUUAUGUGGAUAUUAUGGGGCUGUUUUAUGAGACACAGCUGAGGUUUCCCCCCCUAAAAGAUUCUCAUAUUACUUGGAGAUGAAGACCACAUGUGUAUAGCUUUCCCCACCUUUUAAAACACAAAGAAGUAUAAACUCAUAGUAGGGCCUAGUGAUGUUGUAUGGUUGCCAACAGGUUGUUAAUCAAUGAAGAGUGGGCUAGAAAUAAAGAACAACAACCACAACCAUCCUUGGGAAACAAACAAACCGGAGUCCAGCAUUUAGAGGGUGGCACCCAGUGGUAUAGAGGCCCACAAAAAAUGAAAUACAAAAUACUGGAGAUCUGGGUAAUUAAAAAAAAAUAUUAAUGCUAUAUUUUCUGUUUCUGUAUGGUAAGUGAAAUACUUUUAAAAGUAGUGUUUUGAAAUAAUAUUAUUCUAUCCAAUUACAGUGGUACCUCUGUUUCCAAACGUCUCAGCUGACAAACAUUUUGGUUUCCGAAUGCCGUAAACCUGGAAGUAAAUGGUUCAGUUUUCGAACACGCCUCAGAAGUCAAAAAUGCCACGCGGCUACUAUAUUGAGUUUUCUGUAUUGAGUUUUUGGUUUUCAAAUGUUUCAGAACUCGAACAGUCUUCUGGAACGGAUUACGUUCAAAAACCAAGGUGCCAGUGUACACUGCUGCUAGAUCCAGUCACUAGUGCCUUUGUCUGGAUUAUUAAACCAUUCUCUCCAAUAAUUGACAGAUGAAGACAGGAAUAUGCUUGUAACAAAGGCUGAACCAAAAAACUUUUAGCUCAAAAAUUGGGAAGUGGACCUAAAAUGGCAGGACUGAAGUCUUGUGGGGUGUGGCAAGUGUAGCUGUAAAGUAUAUGGCAGUGGGGUGGGGCUGUUUGGCCGCAAUGGCAGCUUCUCCCUUAUUUGUUGCCCUUUCCUUCCUCUUCCUAAUGACUUCUCCGUAGUUAAGGGAGCAGGGAGCUCUUCAGCUGGAGUGUCACCUGCUUCAACUCCAUCUGACCAUAUCAAACCAUUAUUUCCAAGCACAGUACUCAUACCCUCCAAGUCACGUGACCCACGUGAGAUCAUGGAGCCUCAAAACACACAUUUUGGUAUGCUGCACAAGAUUGUGGUACCAGAAAAAGCACUUGAUCUCACACGAGCAUGGUGACCCAAAUGGCUGCUGUGACCCUGCCGGGGAAAACGGAAUGUCCCAGUUUUUCUGGGACACUUGUGGGGUAUGCAGUACUAACCAUUUUGCUGACAUGGGGCAAGUGGGCAGCAAGACAUUCACAUUGUCCCUCUUGUUGUAACUUGCUAAAUGCUUGCUCUCUGCCAGCUGUCCCAUUAUAGUGUGUGCAUGCUCGGUAAUGUUCUGGGGAUGUGAAGAGAUUUUCCCUGUGCUAGCUACAGAAUUGUUCCAGAGGAAUGAACUGGAAUGGACUGCCAGAUUUGCUAUUAGUGUAUAGAUGAGUGAGGUUGUUGUUUUUUAGCUAUAACUUCUGAGGAUGUUUAUACUUGCUGAUAAUUUGAUGAAAGGUUCCUGCCAUUCUAUUCUCUCUCUUGGGGUUAUACUUAAUAAAAGUCUAGUGCAGUCUAUACUGAAAUAAUACGCUGUCUCAAGUAUUGUUGCUUUUGUUGGUUUUUCUACAUAAUACAGUGUUUUAUGAUGGAGAGUGGAGUAUUUUAUGAACAGAAAGAUUUCCACUAGAUUUAUGUCCCAUUUAUAUGAGGCCAAUAGAUUGCAAUAGCACGUGUAAGAACGCUGAAGCAAAAAAACAAACUGUACUUAUGUCAAGGAGAUGGAUUUCGGUUGUAAAGAAUAUGUGUAAGAAUAAGAUAAAGACAUAAUACCAUCUUAAGGCCUUUCCCUCUUGAUGCAGUUAUAUAUGUUACUGCACAUAUGCAGUGAGGUCCCUGGCCCUUUAAAAAUGUAAUAUUAUGCAAAGGAAUCUGCCUUGGCUAAAAUGCAGAUGGAGAAGAGAGGCACAAUGGAUAAUAAUGUAACACACACAUAACACAAUGGCACACACUGCAGGACCUGCGGGUUAGGAGUAACUAUUAAGCUCUCUUUAGGCGUUAUCCAAAUAUAGAAAGAAACAUAUGAGGUGGGGAAUGGGGUGGCUGCCUUUGUGUUUUCAUCACCUUCCCACAUGUGGAAGGUGACUGUCUGCAGAGAGGAGCCUCCUGUAUCAGUUGUGGCUUCUGCAUGUGUUUUAGAAUCUUGGAAAAUCUGGGCUUCAAAUUGUGAAGGUAUUGUCCAGAAAUACUAAAGUCUUCCUGCUCCACUCAGUCCUCUUUCAUUAGUAGGAAUUAAUGAGAAUGGGGGUAGAGAGAGGUGGAGGUAGCAUGCUUGCUCCUGCUGCCCCCCCCCUAUUUACUUCCGCAUUUGGGUGAUGCCUGAAGAGGGUUUGCAUGUCUCCUGUUUUCUUGGAGACAGAAGGAGACAGAAGAGUCAUCAAUUACCGCAAUGUUCAUCACAGCAUCAGCAACAACAAGGCUAAACAGUUCCUGACCACAUACCGUAUUUUUCGCUCUAUAACACGCACCCGACCAUAACACGCACAUAGUUUUUAGAGGAGGAAAAUCCGUAGGCAUGCCACCCGUAGGCAUUUCCUCCAUAACACGCACAGACAUUUCCCCUUACUUUCUAGGAGGAAAAAAGUGAGUGUUAUGGUGCAAAAAUUACGGUAUAUGAGGAUGGGUAGCAAUUUCAUGGAGGUUGUUGACUCUCUCCUUGACCCAGUCUGGCCCUGAUUUGGUGGUGGUUGUUGCUGCUUUUUGUGGAACUGAGGUAGCAGGGGCUUAGCUACCUAUGGGGCCAUUAGAAAGAUCUAACCCACCUCCCCCACAAUUCAUCAUUAUGAUAGGUAGCCCAUUUGUAUUUAAUAAAUGAAAGAAAUAACAAAUCUGAACAAUCACAUUGGAACAGAAUAAUCACUUAUACGUGGUAACUCAAUGCAAAAAAAGGAGGAGGAUUGAAUAGAGUCACUUUCAAUGACUACUCUAGCGUAUUUAGAUGGGGUCUGGAGGUCUUCUUUCAUCCUCUCCAGCUGCCAAGCUUGCUUACAUUUACCUAAAUAUAUUUAAUACUAGAAUCUUUGGGAUUACUCUCCAGGCCACCCCAUGCAUUCUCUGUUGGAGUAAAACAUUUACACUCAAGGAAUAAAAGCAAACGGAAUUGAAACACUGCAGCAGAGAAAUUUGCCUUUCUGAAGCUUCUGUGAUAUUUAUGCAUGUUGGAAUUGUUGUGUAUUGAUUUGGUUUUGAAACACCACAAGUCAUACUAACAGCAAAGAACUCAUUUAUCCUUAGCACAAAACACACAAUAAACAAGCUUAUUGUUUGAAAGUUUCAGUUGGGAUAUGCAGUACACAUAUUCAAUUAUCAUAAACAAAUUUAAGUGCAAACUGCCAAGUGUUGUUGCCAUUUGAAUUGCUUACUAUUACUCCUUUUAUAUCUUCCAGAUUUUGCAAUAACCUCAUCAUGAUGAAAUGCCUUUGGCAGCAAUUCAUUAAUAAAGAACAGUCUAAAAAAACCUCUCAGACAACUGGGAUGAGAAAGGUGAAAUCAGAAAGAGUCAUAUGGAUUCCAUUCUAAAAAGGUCUGUAGCUGCUUACAGCUCUUUCCUAUCACCAUGAAUAUUCAUAAUUUGUAUUCCUGCUGAUCCCCAAGAGUUAUUGGUAUGUUUUUUUUAUUAUACCCCUUAACAGAUGACAAAUGAGAAUGGGGUACAUAUACCAUCUUCAGUGAGUUAUAUGUUUCUAAAGGGUGAUUUGCUUGUAAACGCUUAUCAUGUAUUAACUUCAGAUUCAGCAUGCAGUAAUAACAUGCAUAAAAUAUAGAUGCCAAUUUGGAGAUGAGUGGGGCACCAGAGAAGAGUAUCAUAGCUCUGUCCGCCCACUGCUGUGGUUUUACAGGUUUCUAAAAUGUGCAAGGGAACAAAAUGCUUCCCGUUGUAAAAGCUUACCUUUCAUGAAAUGGAAGGUGAUCAGAACUGCUACCAGGGGAUCUAGCUCACUCAUCACCACUGUCCUCUGACGUGUUUAUUUUGACCUAGCUGUAAGGCCCAAAGAGCACUCGUCUGUUGAUAAAUCUCCUUCUGGACUCUGCCAUUUCUGACUGCACCUGAUUGGAUGGUUCAUAGAAUCAUAGAGUUGGAAGAGACCACAAGGGCCAUCGAGUCCAACCCCCUGCCAAGCAGGAAACACCAUCAGAGCACUCCUGACAUAUGGUUGUCAAGCCUCUGCUUAAAGACCUCCAAAGAAGGAGACUCCACCACACUCCUUGGCAGCAAAUUCCACAUUAAAGAAAAAGUCCCGGCACACUGAAAAUUAGCUUGUGAGUGGAAAGGCUGGGUAAUGGCUCAUUUUUAUAUCUGGAAGACAUUCUUUCUAUCUAUCUAUCUAUCUAUCUAUCUAUCUAUCACAUGGAAACAUUCAUUCAUAGGAGUAUCCACCAACAGUCUGUUGUGGAGCAGUCCAGAGACAGGUUUUACCACCUCAUUUGUUGUUUUGUGAGCAUUUGGUCUUAGGGCCUAAUUACGCAUUACUUUAAAUGUGUUGCUUGAAGUGCCAUCAGGUUUUUAAAAACAUAAAUCCACACUGGGACCACUGCAUGUGGCGAGAUGAAGUUUAACCUUUUCGCUUCCUGCUCUGAUCUUGGGGGGGGGGCAGCCUCUGUAUUGCAAAUAGCAAUUGCAAAAAAACCUCCUGUUGCACUAAUGGGAGGGUGUUUCCUCUUCCCUCCUAUUGUUAUUUGCUGCAUGUGGGAAAUUAUUUUCAGGAUGGUGGUGGAGGAAAAUACUUAAAUUUUCCUCCUCACACACUGUUGGACUAACUGAGAUCUAGGGGAGGGGGAAUUUUUUAAAACAAACAAACAAACACACAAACACACACACACACACACACACAGAGAGAGAGAGAGAGAGAGAGAGAGAGAGAGAGAGAGAUUCAAAGAAUCAUAGAAUUGCAGAGUUGGAAGGGACUCAGAGGGUCAUCUAGUCCAGCCCUCUGCAAUGCAGGAAUCUUUUUGCCCAACAUAGGUUUUCAACCCAUGGCGCUGAGAUUAAGAGUCUCAUGCUCUACCAACUGAGCUAUACCAACUUAUUCAUUUAAAACAAUUAUUAGGCCUUUAGUAAUACAUAAAAUAUAAACUAGAUUUUUUUUUAAAAAAGAAUUCAGUGCAGUGUCUCACUACUGUACAUGCUUUAGUUCAUCAACUACAGUUCAACUAUUUCAAGUUUUCUUUGCUUUAUUCUCUCAGUGCAUUCUCAGUGUGACCAAUUUGCUCUUGGAAGCCCACAAUUCAGCCUGUUAUAAAGUAAACUCUCACUAUUAUUUGAUCAAAUUGAUUGGAAAACAAGAUGACACAACCAAGAAAAGAAGAUAUGCUCCAUCAUUCAAGCUUCAAAAAUGUUGCUGUAUUGUCGAUGCUGACCUUUGACUCCCUUAAUCACCUUCUUCUGAUCCUGAUCCUUAGCUCAAAAUACCAUACAAGUGUGAGCCAAUGUAUUAUUUGAAAGUUACAGAAUCAAGCUCUAAUCCUAAAAUCUGUGAGACGAGUUUUUAUUGUUGUUCUCUUUGGGGAAAGGCACUUAGGGCAUAGAGUGUGUGUGUGUGUGUGUGUGUGUGUACACACACACACACACACACACACACACACACACACUUUUAUCUCUCUCUCUCUCUCUCUCUCUUUUAAAGCAAUAUCACCUUACUUUUUAUAGUUACAUGCUUUCCUUUCUGCAAAUUCUUAUGUCUCCAUUCUGAAGAUGUCCCAAUGAAAUAAAAAUCUCUAAUAUCUGAGGCCCAAUCAUAAAUGAACAUCUUCCUAGCUUCUCCUUCAUUUUUACUUUGUAGGAUGGGCUCCUCGCACAAAGGAGGAAAAUAAAUUUAUAAAGGCAUUAGGAAGUACGAUAAUGAAACAUUUGCUUUAACUGUUGUUUGUUUGUUUUUUUUAAAAAGAAAACCACAGACUUCCCCCAUUCAGUAUUCAAGCUAACAUUACCCUGCAGUUGAAGUACAGAACCUAUGGCUCACCAGAUAUUGUUGUAGUCUAACGCCCAGUGCUUUUUUCCAGCAGAGCGCAGUUCCUGCACCUCUCAGGUGGGUGCCAUUGCAGGCCAGUGCUCCCCGCUUCUGCUUCUUGCCUUUACAUACUUCUGAGAAGCCCAAAACGAACAUUUCAAGUCAAAACAGAAGCUGGCCAGCGUGUGAGAGUCUACUCUUUUUAAAAAAAAUAAAUCUAUGAUUCCACCUAGCUCCUAACUGCUCCUAAUUGUGAUUGGUCAAACUACUAUGGGGAAGGGCCAAUUCAUAUUUCCUUUUCUUUAAUCCGUCUCUUGUGUAGUGGCAACGAGCUUUAAGCUUUCCCGCCAGGCCUCUACCGUUGUACCUGUGUUUGUGCAAUGACCUUUCUGAGCUGCCGUAGCCAUCCGCCUGAAUCUAGGAGAACGAGGGAGGUGGGUGAUGCAUUUAAUUGACCAUCACCAGAACCAGGGGCACCAGCAUCUGUUCAGGGCUGCCCUGAGCCACCCAACAACUUACUGUAACAACUUCAUGGUGAUUUCCAGCACCUAUUGUUCUUGAGAAAAGCACUCCCAUGAGUCCAAGUCAGCAAAGUCAAGGAUGAUGAGAGUUGUAGUCCAACGACAUUUGGAGUGUCACAGGUUACCCGCCAUUGCUUUAGGGCUUCAAAAGCCAAACCUCUGUUAACAAUGCUGAGAAACAGCCCAAUAGCCUAACCAGAUCAUUAAGCAUUGUGCUGUGGUGGUACAGGAAUGGGCAUGAGCAGUAUACAGCUCACAGUCUUUUUUCAGAGCAAGAGCAAUGCCAGGGUGAUUCAUUAAUGGAUCCUUCUUGCUCUGGGUGAAGCUGAAGUCUCAACAAGGAUGCACUUUUAAAUAGGGAUAAAAUACAAUUUCCUAUAAAAUUAGAAUUAUCGAAAAGGGAAAUUUCAAAUCUCUAUAUUUAACCACCCAGAUUUCUCUUUUCAUCCAGAUAUGGGAACUGAAAAUUACACAUUUUGUCAGUAAAAUCUGACACAUUUAAUACAUGCACACUGAUACAUUCAGCAUGACACCGGCUUUGGCAUCCCUUAAAGUAAGGCAUACUUCCUCAGCUCAAAAAGCCCUUGAGACAGUCACACAGUAUGGGCUUUCUUUGAACUGUUACCUGCAGCAGUCCAACAGCUGGAUAUUUUUAAACUCAGUGGUUCCAUCUUUAGCAAUAGGACCUACUGUGUCAGAAACAAAAAGCAAAAAUAACCCAGGUCUAACUCCCCCUGCACCCUAGCCUUAAAAUAAAUGUUGAAUAACACAGUCACUGUUGGGUGGUUUCAGAGUUCUUCAUUUAUACUCACCUUUUAAAACAAUGUGGAUUGCUGCAAUUAAAAUAUAUAAUGUUGUCUUUCUUAGACACUAAAUGAAAUAUAGUACAUAAUUUCUGUAAAUCAAUAUGGCUUUUAAAAAUAAACAAUAAUAUAUUUUAAUUACACAAAUCCCAAUUAUUUUAAAGGGACAAUGUGAAUAAAGAUAUCAGAAGUGGGAAGAGAAAUCCAACACAGAUUAUGUCACUCAAAAUCCUAUUUAAGGCUGGGGUGGGUAAAUUCUGAUUUGUUUGUUUGCCAAGUCCCCUUGCUAAAGGUGGAACCACUGAGUUUGCGAGGUCAAGAUAUUUUAAAUGAUAUUUGAUACUGUUUGAAUGUGCUGGUACUGAAGGAGUUUACCUGAAUCACUGCUGUCUUGUGUUUUCCAGUUCCUACAAGGUCAAACAGCUUAUGAAAAUCAUGCUGUUUUUGCCAGUCUUAUAUUUCAUCACAGAAAUUCCUAUGAAGAGGGAAACUCCAGAACCCAUCAAAACACCAUCAGUUAGACUGCAGAGCCUAAGAGUAGAAUACUAAUUUUUAUAGCUACAAUUACAUAUGCAUGGGGAAAUCAGGUUUUUGUGGCUGAAAUUAACAGAAUAUAUCCUCAAUAUCCUUGUUUAUUUGUUCUUCCAAAAAAAGAAAAGAAAAAGAAGGGGGGGCUCUCUAAUGAAGUGAAGAGGUGAAGGUAGCUUUGAGAGGGAGGGAGGGAGUUAGCUAAUUAGGCAAUAUCCUCUUGAAUCUUUGAGAUAAACUCUAGGUCAAUAGCACAAAAAUUAGCAUAACAUUCAUAUUAAUAUGUUUCAAAAUCAGAUACAGCAAAAGCUUACACUUGGAAAUCUGUGUAAUCACAGGCAUCUAAUUUUCAAAGAGGUUUUGGGUGCUCAUUAUGGUGAUGGAUGACAGUACUGAAAACAUCAACACUUUUUUUUAGCUCAGCCCCACGAUGUGUGUUCUUUACAUAUUUGUCCUAUGGUGUUUUGCAGCUUUAUAAUUUAUUUAGCUAUUGUCGGAAGCAGAAGAAAGAUGGUUCAUAGGUUCUCAUUCUCUCUCUCUCUCUCUCUCUCUCUCUCUCUGUGUGUGUGUGUGUUUUACAUAUUACUGUUUUGUCCUUGCCUUCCAGACAUGUUAGUCAUAAUAACUAAUAAUACCAUGAAAAUCAGAAUUCACUCCAACAGGCAGGUCACCUGGGAGGUUGAUGGUACCUAAACACCUCUGGGAUUGUUAUGAUGUGAUGGCACUCCAGCAGAAGUGGUGCUACAUCAUGAUGCUGAAGGGCGACAUCUCAGCACAGCAUACCAAUGGCAAAGGACGGAAGAACAAGUGGAAUGAACUAGGGAUGACAAUUUUUGUUCUUUCAUCUCUAACAUCUUGUUACAUAUGUGUGAGAAGCAAAAGGCCUGAAUGCCAGAGAAAACCUUGCUCGUAUAUUUGUAGCCUUGUUCACAAUAUAUAUUUUUUUAAAGUAAACAUUUUAUUUAACUUUGAAAUUCAGAAAAAGAACUGGGAGUAAAACUGAAACCUCAUUUGUAACUUUUAUUAUUUUGUGCUAGGGUAAAAUAUGAAUUGCAGUUAGUAUGGUUUGAAGGUCAUGUAGAACUUUUUGACACUGGAUUUAAAUCAUAGAAUUACAGAAUUGUAACGUUGGAAAAAAAUCAGAAGGGUCAUUUAGUUCAACCCCCUGCAAUGCAGGAAUCUUUCACCCAAUGAUCGAACCCACGACCUUGAGAUUAUGCAUCUGUGCGCAUAGGCAUAAAACCCUGUUUUUAUUAUGUUUCUGUAUCUGUUGGAAACUACCCAGAGUGGCUGGGACAACCCAGCCAGAUGGGUGGGGUAUAAAUACAACAACAACAACAACAACAACAACAACAACAACAACAUACUACUAUGUACAUACUACAACAACAUACUACUAUAACAAAAACAACAAUAUACUACUACUACUGAAAGUUCCCAGGCUCUUUCCCACUUUAUAAGUCUAUUGUCAACCACUCCAAAGGCAGGGGACAAUUGCAUAUUGACUCACUGACCUGGAUCCCUGGGACCAAAGUAAAAAUGCUUCUGAGUCAAUUGCUGGUAAAAGGCUGGUGAUCAACUGUCCAGCUCUCACCAAUGUGCAGUACCUACUGCAGCCAUGGGCAUCAUAGCCUGUUCUGUUAUAAAGAGCCCACCAACCAACCCUAAGAAGCAGCUUCUCAGGAAGACUGGGGGGGGGGAUGGGUAACCCAAUUUUUAUAAGUGGAAGUUAUUUCCACUAUGACAAAGCCACCACUGGAUGCAAUUUAGUGCCUUAAACCAACCGUUGGCAGAAGGUGUUUUCUCCUUGGAUACCAGGGAUCAAAGCAAUUGAGUAUGCAGUUUGUACUGCCUGCAAAGUGUUUAACAGAUGACUGCAAUGGAAAGUGGGAGAAAAACUGGGAAUUUUCAUUAGUAUGACUAGGAUUUGCUACUCCAGUUUCAGGGUGACUUCUUCAUACUGUAAUAAAGGGGGGAAUUAAGCAGCACGGGAUGGAAUUGUAAAGUCAGGGUUUCCUGUCAAUAAAGCUAUGAAAGAAAAAUAUAUAAAAUAUAAAGCAUGUGAGAAACUGACUUUAAGAAGUAAUUACAGAUGUAAUCUGACUGAAUACAACUAGGGAUUUCCUUGUUUACUCUGGAGUUGACAACUGACUUUGAUUACACACAAGUCGAAACACAGAAAUAUAGGAAGCAUAUCUUACAUGCCAACCAAACUCCAGACAAAGAAAUCUGAAAAGCCCAUCUUACCUCCCAGCAUAGGAAACUGGUUAGAUUAUUUAUUCAUCUAGCCAAGUAUUGUCUGCUCUGUCUAGCAGCAGGAAACGAGUGUCUUGGCCAGGGAUCUUCCCUAUCUCCUGCCACUUUAUCCUUUUUAAUGGGAGAUGCUAAUGAUUGAUGGUGGGACAAAGCAUGCACUUUACUAAGCAAUGGCCUCUUCUCCCAACCCAUGCUCCCACAUGGAGUAACGUGUAAACAUCUUCCACCCAUGCAAUUCCAGUGGAUUCCAUGGUCACAUGCUGUAACUACAAAGCCCAUUUUGUGCCAUAGAAAAGGGGAUUCAUUUUACCUUACACUGGUUAACAUGAGUGACAUUCAUAGCAAUUGCACAAGAUAUAGUAUAUCUGGAUGGUGGCUUAAAGGGUUUUUUAUUUGCUUAUUUUUAAGGGGUGUGUGUGGAAACAAUCUGUGCUGCAAGAAGGGUUUGUAUUUUUCCUUUGCAGAUGUUUAAGUUGCACAUGAAAAAAGGAACAUUUUCCCCCUUUGGAGCUUGGCUUGAGUUCAAGACAAUUUGCACAGAAAUAAAAUAAAGAAUCAGGAACGUACUUUAGAGUGUGCAUUCCAAAUCAUUUCAUUUGGAGUUAUGUCACCUGGUGUGGACCCUGCCCACCUGUCAAAGAGGAAUGGGGAGCUCAGGAUCUGGCUCACUAGCUGAAUCCUGUUCUGUACAAUCUCUGUUUGGUGGACUAUGGUGGAAUAGUGGAAUCAUUUUUUAAAAAAAAAAUCCCUUAAAUUCUUAUUCUUAGGAACACCCCAAAUUCACCAGAUGAUUCUAAACAACCUAGCACCUUCUCAUAGUCAUUUCCUCCUCAGAGGUUAAAUGCUGUUUAGACCAAUUAUAUAAAUUAUUCACAUGAACUGAAAGACAAAUGAAUAAAUGUGUUUCCUUUAGGUCAGUGUAGCCUGCUUUCCAAGUGAAGAUGAACUGUUUAUAUAAAUCAUUUCAGCUGUUGAGAGGAUGGACUAAGUAGAUAGCCUGUGACAGCUGCCCCCGCCCCAGGCUUUUCACCCUGGGUGAUUGCCUUGAUUGUAAAUUACUCUACAUGGAUGCAUCAGAGUUAUUAAAUGGGACACAUGCAUCAUGCAUUAAAUGCACCAUGCAUCAAAGUUAUUAAAUGUGUUACCGAUGCAAUUAGAACCGCAAGGCACAGCAUACAAAGUGUCUUUUGUACCUACUGUCCUCUUUCUCGCAGUGAUUUCCAUGCAAGGCAUUACUUUUUCCCUGGCAGCAUUCUUCAGCCUGUUAAACUGUUCCAUGGGGAGGCAUUUACAAACAUCUGAUGUAGCCAUAUUGGCAAAAUAUAUUUAUAUACAAUCUAAGACUUAUUGAAAGAUGCAUUUUGAAUUCUUUUCUUUUUAUUGCUUAGUUGUGUUGGAACAAAUCCAGCAAUACAACUUCCAGGUGCUUGGCAGACUGCUUUUCUUAAAGAGAAAGUGAUAAAGAAAUACAAUGUCCCUUUAUAGAAAAAGCAAUUAAUGGACUGUACAUUUUUUUAAAUUUUAAUUUAUUUAUGCUACAGCAAGGGUUACAGGAAUUUCAUUCAUAAAUUGCUUUAUUUAAGGUAUUUGCUUCUUCAACAAAAAAUGAAAUCAAUGCAAUGCAAUCAUAUGCAUUUUAUUAAUCAAUGACUUCUAAAUCAUCUGCUUAUGUUAAAAUGCAUGAGAUAAAACCUCAUUGUUCUUGUUCAAAUAUAAAACAUGUUAGCAGAGUCUGAUUGCAAUCCACAUACUGUUCUGCUAAUAUAAGCUCUUGUCAGUUCAGCAGGGUUUACUGAACUCCAGCAAAGAUAUCUGGAGAUCAGACUAUGCCUCUGAGGUGCUAUUCUUUUAAAAGAGAGAGACAGAAAAAAAGAAAGUACCACAGAACAGAAACUAGAAGAGGAAACGUCCCUCUUCCAAUUAAGGAAUAACAUUUUUCAGCAACCUCAUCAUAUUUUAGUGAAAGAUGUUGCAAAAUGAUGAAGCUCCCUUCACAAAAGAAAACUUCUCAUGAAUAUUCAUUUGCAUUCUAGGAGAAUUUGAUUGUCUCAUUCUCCAUUCCAUCUCUAAAACAGAAUUAAUGACCUUAAAUAGUCUCCUCUGACAUUCUCUUUGUCCUCAGCUAGGUAAGUAAUUUAGCAUACUGGUUCUCUGACCCCCAAAACCUUAUCUUAGCACACAUUGCAGCAAUUCUGCUUAUCUAAGCUUUUUUGCUUUUAUGGUAUAAUUUUAUGCAACUAAAGAAAAGAGAGAACACAUUCAGUUCUCACUCUUUCUGAGAGCAGCUCCACACAUUACAAAGAUGCAUCAAAAGAAGAUAGUGAAAGAACAAUACAUCCUCUUGCUGCUUUCAUUAGAACAGCCUUUCCCAAGCAGGUGCCCCCAAGAAGAUGCUUGGACUACAACUCCCACCAGCCCCAGCCAGCAUGGCCAGUGGUGAAGAAUGAUGGGAGUUGUACUCUGGCAACACCUGGAAGACACCAAGACUGCACUUGCAAAUUGGAUGUGGCCUUUAUGGACCUUAUGAGUUGUGAUCCCCAAGGCCAUUUCAGACUCAUGGAUCGUGCAACAUGAAAACCAGGAAGUUUCAGCACUCAUAUUUCCUUUCUUGCUAUUUUCAUGGAACAUGGAAGUGACUCAGAUCACAGGACAGGCAUUUUGUUUUUAAAAUUAUAUGGGGAUCUUUUGCACACCAGCAAGGAUUAUAUGCAUGUGCAUUGUCUUGUUUUAAGCCAAGUGUACAGAAGAUUAUCAGAAUCAAAUGAGAAAAAUAAUGAGCCAAACACUCCAUGGAGGCAAGGUUGUGGCCAUGUAUCUUUUUCAGUUCAUAAUCUGUUCCAAGUAUUGUCUUCUUUUUUUCUAGAGACCGUUUUUUAAAAAUUUCAAAUUUGGAUUGGGGGAAAUGCAGAAUGUUGUAUAUUUUAAAGACAUGAACUGACUUAACUUGAUGAUCAGGGGAGCUGGAUGGUUAGCCAGGCAGGCUUCAUGCAUAUUGUUUAUUAUAUACACAUAGAAGGAACCACAAAUGACUGAACUAUUGGCCCUAUUCACUUGUUACAUCAGGGCAUAUUCAUGUUAACAUUUGGGACAGGGCUAAAACUACCACUGCACUCUGAAAUAGAGAUUUCUUCCUUCAGCAGUUGCAUGUUGCACAUGCUUGUUUGUAAAGAAACGUGAAGCACCUCCUUACGUACCGGGUCUCUGCAUGGUCACACCACACUCACAAGCAAGGCUUCACUCCAGAGUAAACAUGACUGCCCUACAUGGAAGUAAUACAUAAAUAGGGCUAUUGUGGAGUUAUAUAUCUGAAGCUAUUCACAUUUCUUAUUCAGGAAGUGCUGGUGGUUGAAGCAAAUCUGCAAUUUACCAAUCACUAUACCACGGAAGAGUUACAUUUUAGUCUGUUCAAGGUAAGCUUUGCUUUGUAUCCCUUGCUAUUAGAGAUUCAUAAGUAUUAUGCAAAAUGUUCCUAGGAUAAUUUGCACAAUGGGG